CCCCGACAUGAACCAAGGAAGAGGACCAACAGGAGGAACAGGAACAAGUAAAUGUGGACCAAGUCAGCUAAGAUGGUCACUGCAGUUCAAGAAGGACGACCCUGGUGUUCUAAGCAUUGAGUGCACAAUCAACAGAUACUCUUUUCAGAAGACACUCUACGACACCGGAUCUGACGUCAACAUAAUGGCCGUAGUCACUUAUCAGCUCCUGCAUUAAACCAUGCCCCUACAACCAAUAUACAUUUAGCUAUAGAUGAUUUUCAGGUCAUUGACAUGGGAGAAGAUGAGUAUGAUCCACCCACCAACCUUGGAAGACAGUUCCUCAGCACUAUCAAAGCCAUCAUCUAUAUUGGAACCGGAGAAGUCCACAUACACUUCUCCUCUGAGAAGGUAUGUCGCUGUUUUACUGACCCUAACUAUAUAGUUGAAGACUCUAAGCAGGUCAGGACAAGAAGAAGACAUCGCAACCGCAACCAGAGGAGGCAAAUUAUCAAGGAAGGAUGGGUAGACUACGAAGGAGAAGUGAUAAGGACUGAAGACAUACCACUUGAACAUAACUGUCCUGAGGAGACCGUAGCACCGAGUUAGGUGUGGAGAGAGAAGAUAGUUAUAAAUGAAGAGGAGGCGCUGCCGGAAGUACCGACUACGCCACCCAACGAACCUCAGGACGAUUAAGAAAAUGGAGAGUCCCGCUCGGAGGACUUAAAAACACCGAACGCCUUGCCAAGAGGUAAACUUGGUAGUUAUCCUUUCCCUUUUAAUUAUUUCAAAUAGUUUACUUAGUUAAUCAUGUUCGUAUCAUCCUAGAAAGAAAAUAAAAAUGUGAAAAAAACUGUAAGCCCCAUGUGAGUAGACGAGUGGCAUAAAACCCAUAAGUACAUUCACUGUGGUGGCAUAAAAAUAAAAUAAAUAUUUUUCUGCUUUAUAAAAACAAAAAUAUAAAAACAGGGAGUAAUAUUUAUUAAGGAGUCUCAACAUGAUAAAGGCUAGAUAUUUAUGCUAACACUUAAUCAGUUCCACAAGCUUUGUUGUCUAUUUGAGCUCCACAGAAUUUAAGAAUCAAGAAGACUAGCAGACGGAGGACAUUCUAAUCGCUGUCAAAAUACUGCUGACUUUCAAACACACCUCUGCCACCUGCUAGCUACAUCAAGAGAAAUUACGUCAAAAUCCAGCUUGGGGGAGAGAACCCCCAUUUAUCUCGAUAAGUAUUUCUAUCUAUCUUUAUACUUAUACUAUAUUAGAAUAUAAAUACACAUAACUAUAAAAAACCAAAUAAAGAUUUUAUGCUUAUAUAUAUUUUGCUUAGUAUGUUUAAUAAAUAAAUAAAGUGGCCAUGCUAAUCUAUAUCUAAUAAAACUUAAGCAUGGAUAUGAUGAAUAGUUGCUCUGCCUAAUUUGCAAAUUUGAAGUUCUCUCUCAAGUUUAGAUAUAACUGUUAUAAUUUAAGGCUUGCUCUAGACCUAAACUUGUGGGAUGAAAACUUGAUCUGAAGUCUAAGUUGUUAACGGAUAUGAUAUGGGAAGGUUGAGCUGCUAUUUAUCUGUUCCUAGAGAUGCUAGAAUUCUGGAGAAUUUUAUCUUUGAAAAUCUUUAAAUGUUGCAUGAUGAGUUCCUGUAUGAUGAGAGUUUAAAUUCCUACCACAGAUAUAUAUACAUGCUUGCUAGACCUUGAGCCACACAUUUACUAUUUACUGCUUAUGAGCAUUGAGUGUGGUCAAGCUGUGUAGACCCUUAGGAGCUUGUCAUGUGGUUAAAUCAAGAUUCACUUGCACGUUCACUCAUACAUGCUACUUCUACUCCGGAAGUACCAUCCACAUAUAUCCACUCAUUUCCAUCUCCAAAACCACCCAAAAGUAUUCUACUCCUAAUCCGGGAGAGAAUAACCAAAAAUAUUUCUGUUUCCCCUUGUGAAAUAAAUGCUCAAGUUAUCUUGUUACUACCACUUGCUAUAUUAUCUCAAGAGAUGAAUGCUCUGAAAAAAAAAGAGAAAAAGAAAAUAAAAGAUACAAGGAAAUAAAAAGGAGCAAGUGCUCGGAACCUCGAAAGAAAAGAAAAAGAAGAGCAUCUCAUUCUCCUCAUAAAGUUUCAAAAGCAAGGAAGGUGUGUAUCCCCUCAAAGAGCAAAGUAGAAUUAGACUUCCACCACCAUUGUUAUCACCAUCAUCACCAUACACCAUUCAUUCCCCACACAUGCACAUCUUGAUUUGGCUUAUUGAUUUGUUUCUUUGGAUCCAUGGUUUGACUAUGCAAUAAAUGUCUUGUAAGUAUGUAUACUUUAUCUCCCACCUAUGAGCUCCAGAUAUUAAAGCCUUAUUAGAGUAGGGUGAGAGAGAAGACAAUGACACUAUGCUUCAUACCACAAAUACUAAAUAUUUUGAGAGAAGGCAUAUACCAUCACUGCCUUGGUAAGGAUCCAAAAAUACCACAAAAGAGAGAUCUAAGAGAGUCAUAUAAGGAACUCUGAGUUUUAUUUGAAAAUCUGCAAAAACCCCAGAGCUAUAGCUGAUCAAGAAUAAGAGACAUGGCACUUGGCUAGACUGUUCUAUCUUUUAACCACUCAAGACAGAAGUGACGGUUACAAGUCCUAUGGUGUAGGUAAAGUAAGUAAGUUUUAAGUCUUAACAGUUUAUUCUAACUCGGAGAUGAGAUCUUGUUUAAAUGCGUGUGUACUUCUAAGAAAUGAAACCACUGCAGAAACUCUUGAGUUCAUCCUUGCUCAGGGACGAGCAAGAGGUAAGCUUGGGGGAGUUUGUUGACGGUCCUUAAGUAUCAAAUUUAAUUAUCAAAUAAACAAAGAAAAGGAUCCAAAUGAAAUCAACAUCUAGACUUAGGGUUUUAUCUGACAGAAGUCCACGAGUUUUGGUGUUUGUCUAUUUCUGCAGGGGGUUAUCAGGAAAUAAGGAAGAAAGGCCCACAUGUCGGGAUUACAUAGAGAUAUCAACCCACCGCGCAAUUUUCUACCAUCUAGAAGACUCCAGAAGCCACGGGAAGGAAGCGGAGCCCGAAAGGGGCCAGGCCCAGGGCGCCUGCCCUGAGGACCUGGGCGCCCGCCCCCCUCUGGACUCCGUUCCGGACUCUCUUCGCACACGACGUUCCACCGACCUAUUGGAUCCAGAAUAACAUAGUACCACCUCGCCUAUCGACCCAAAAACGCAUAGAAGGGGAGGACUAUAUAAGGAGACCCCCUCUAGCCCCUGGAGGAGACAAGAAAUUAUCAUAGAGAUUGAGGGGUGCCCUCGAAGGAAAACCUCUUCUCUAAAUAAUAUUUCUUUUUAGGCUUAGCAACCAAUGUAAAGUAGAAAUAGAUCUUCUAGUUUCUACUAGAUUGAGAGAGAUAGAGUGGAGGUGUGGAUCGGAGGAAGGCCGGCCUGUCGGUGUCUACUCCGAGUUGUACCUGCGAGAUCAAGUCUCCUAACCCGAGGCUUGCUUCUAAGAUUCUUCAGUAAUUCGACUUCUAAUACUAGUAAGUUCUUGUUUUAUUGUUCUUUGGUUUAUGAGUUUACUUUAAUCCUCUUCCGGUUGAGUAUUAGAGUAAUCACUUGUUAGCGUAAACGUGGUGUUUAGGCUAGGGUACUCAUAGAUAUCCCCUGACUAGCUGGACCGUGGUAGUAGCGAGGAACGUGACAUUUCUGAGUUACCUUUGCAGAUCACAUCUCGUUAGCAGGACGGGUAGGUUUAUAGGUGCGGGUCGAACAUCCUUUGUGUUGUCUAGAUUCCGUGAGCCUCCCCAAUAGAACAGUAGAUCAUCCUUACCAAGGUUAGAACGAGACUACAGUUGCAGUCUUCUCUAUACAUCACUCACAUCGAGAGACAUUCUUUGUAGCCUAAAGGGAUAGUAGCAAUAGAUUUGGUUAGUCAGAUGCACCCUUUCUCCCAGUGGUAAAAAUAUAAAUACGAUACUCUGGAAAACCUCCCGGGUGAAAUGCUCACCGAUAUCCGUGCGCUUGCGGAUCAUUUUCUAAUUGCGUUACCAAAUAUCAACAUCCGCGCAAACACCGACAUGUUUGCGUGGAGUCCCUCGGACAUACCGGGCAUACCGAGGGAAGUCGCCGAGCACUCCUUGGAAAUUCGAGCCAGUUCCAAGCCAGUGAAACAACGGCUGCGUCGCAUCGACGAGGAGAAGCGCAAGAUCAUUGGCGAGGAGAUCCACAAGCUUUUGAUGGCCGGAUUCAUCAAGGAGGUUCACCAUCCCGACUAGUUAGCAAAUCCUGUAUUAGUUAAGAAAAAGAAUGGGAAGAUGAGGAUGUGUGUCGGUUACACGAGUUUGAAUAAAGCAUGUCCAAAAGUUCCUUUCCCUUUACCACGUAUCGAUCAAAUUGUUGAUUCCACCACGGGAUGUGAAACCCUUUCGUUCCUAGAUGCAUACUCUGGUUACCAUCAAAUAAAAAUGAAAGAAUCCGACCAGCUCGCGACAUCUUUCAUCACGCCUUUUGGGAUGUAUUGCUACAUAAUCAUGCCCUUCGGGCUUCGAAACGCUGGGGCAACAUACCAGCGAUGCAUGCUCCACGUGUUCGGCAAACACAUAGGGUCGACGGUCGAGGCAUAUGUCGACGACAUCGUCGUCAAAUCAAAGAAACGAGGCGACCCGAUCCAGGACCUCGAAAUUGCUUUCGGUUGUCUACACGCCAAUAAGAUCAAGCUCAACCCCGAGAAAUGCGUCUUUGGUGUACCCCGAGGCAUGCUCUUGGGUUACAUAGUCUCUCAAUGCGGCAUCAAGGCCAAUCCCAAGAAAGUCUCGGCCAUUGCAAGAAUGGGGCCGAUUCGAGAUGUCAAGGGAGUACAAAAAGUCACGGGGUGCUUGGCGGCGCUAAGCCGUUUCAUCUCGAGGUUAAGAGAAAAGGCAUUGCCACUGUAUCGGCUCUUGAAAAAGGCUGAGCGUUUCUCCUGGAGCCCCGAAGCCGAGGAAGCCCUUGAUAGCCUAAAGAGAACAUUGACCUCCGCCCCGGUCCUAGUUCCCCCUCAGCCUGCAGAACCUCUGCUCCUGUACGUCGCUGCAACAACCCAGGUGGUCAAUGCGGCUGUGGUGGUCGAAAGGUCGGAAGAAGGGCACGCGCUGCCGGUCCAAAGGCCGGUCUACUUCAUCAGCGAGGUGCUUUCGGAAACCAAGGUACGAUACCCAUAAAUCCAGAAAUUGAUCUACGCAGUAAUUCUCGCCCGACACAAGCUGCAACACUACUUCCUCGGUCACCCUAUCACGGUAGUCUCGUCCUUCCCCCUGGGAGAGAUCAUCUAGAGUCGAGAGGCCACAGGGAGGAUCGCCAAAUGGUCGGUCGAGCUCAUGACUGAGACCCUCACUUAUGCGCCCCGCAAGGCCAUCAAGUCUCAAGCUCUGGCAGAUUUCGUCGUGGAGUGGACGGAUUCCCAGCUCAAGUUCAAGCAGAGCUGUGGACAAUGUACUUCGAUGGAUCUCUCAUGAAGACGGGAGCUGGGGCUGGUCUGCUAUUCGUCUCACCCCUUGGCGUCCACAUGAGGUAUGUCAUUAGAAUACAUUUCGCCGUAUCCAACAAUGUUGCAGAAUACGAGGCCCUUGUCAACGGGCUAAAAAUCGCCAUCGAGCUAGGAGUUCGGCGCCUCGACAUUCGAGGCAACUCUCAGCUUGUCAUCGACCAAGUGAUGAAGGCCUCAAGCUGCCAUGACCCAAAAAUGGAGGCAUACUACAAGGAGGUGCGUCGGCUCGAGGACAAAUUCCACGGCCUUGAGCUCGUCCACAUCGCACGACGCUACAACGAGGCAGCCGACGAACUCGCUAAAAUCACGUCGACUCGAGGCACGGUCCCGCCCGACGCAUUCUCAAGAGAUCUGCACGAGCCAUCCGGUGACUUGGGCUCGGGUGCUGGCGUCGAAACUACCGCCCCCAUCCAACCGACGCUAUCGAAGCCCUGCUAGUAGCAGCAGAAGUAAUGGAGGUAGAGCAGCGUCCCGGUCGACCGUUCGACUGCCGUACGCCAUUCCUUGAUUGCCUGAUCCGAUGCGAGCUACCGGAAGAUCUAUCCGAGGCCCGCCGUAUCGCUCGAUGAGCCAAGUCGUACGUAAUCUACGGCAAAAGCGACGAACUAUACCGACGAAGCCCGGCCGGGGUCUUGCAGCGCUACAUCACCAUAGAAGAAGGUCGAAAGCUCCUCGAGGAUCUACACUCGGGGGCAUGCGGCCACCACGUAGGGAACGCUUUCCGACAGCGCUUCUACUGGCCAACGGCCAUAGCUGACGCCAUAGAGCUCAUACGCUCAUGCUAUGGGUGUCAAUUUUAUGCCAAGCAAACCCAUCUUCCCGCUCAUGCUCUCCAGAUGAUCCCCAUCACGUGGCCAUUCGCGGUGUGGGGUCUCGACCUCGUAGGCCCUUUACAGAAAGCACCAGGAGGAUACACCCAUUUGCUGGUAGCCUUUGACAAAUUCUCCAAAUGGAUCUAGGCUCGACCCAUCAUGAACAUCCGCUCCAAGCAAGUCGUCCUUUUCUUCACCGACAUCAUCCACCGAUUUGGGAUACCCAACGUCAUCAUUACCGACAACGGCACCCAGUUCACCAGCAAAAAGUUCUUGGACUUCUGUGACCGGCACCACAUCCGUGUGAACUGGUCUGCAGUAGCACACCCUCGAACUAAUGGCCAGGUCGAGCAUGCCAACGGCAUGAUUUUGCAGGGGCUCAAACCGAGAAUCUACAACCGGUUGAAGAAAUUCAGCAAGAAAUGGGUCGAAGAGCUCUCUUCGGUCCUGUGGAGCUUAAGGAUGACGCCUAGUAGGGCCACAAAAUCUACCCCAUUCUUCAUGGUCUACGGCUCUGAGGCUGUGCUUCCAACAGACCUAGAGUUUGGGUCACCUCGAAUCAAGGCCUACAAUGAGCAGACGAAUAAGGAAACUCGAGAGAACGCGGUCGACCAGCUCGAGGAAGCUCGAGACAUGGCCCUCCUCAACUCUGCAAGAUACCAGCAGAAGCUUCGACGCUAUCACGACAAGCACGUGCGCAAAAGGGAUCUGAACGUGGGCGAUCUCGUCCUACGGCGACGGCAAAGCAACCAAGGACGCCACAAGCUGACCCCACCCUGGGAAGGCCCAUACGUGGUGGCUGAGGUCCUAAAGCCGGGGAUGUACAAACUCAUAGAUGAGGAAGGGGCAGUCUUCACCAACGUUGAUUCUACCCCUAGAGUUUUGAAGUUUUAUGUUCUCACGUACAUUCUGUACCAAGAUCCUAUGAAUGAAUGCAUAAAUAAACGAGAUCUUUUCCUCGAGUAAUUUACUUUUUCGCCGAUCAAGGUCUCGACGUUUGAAGGGAGUACCAACUAUGACCCAUCAUAGUCAAUACUCCCUCGGGGGCUAGCAGGGGGGACCCCCCCAAGUUCCUAAAAACCGAACAAUGCUUUCUUUCCUAUAAGUAAACCUCGCACGGUCGAGUAGUAGAGGCACCUCGAGCUCCUUAAGGGCCGAGAGACGAUGAGCCUGAGAACCCCUACGCCCCAGGCUAUGGUAACUCUACUCACUCCCUCACCCUCGAGGCUAUCAAGGUCGCCUUAACAAAAGACCAAACGAGGAAUACAGACAUAGGUAGAAAAGGAAACAAAGGAAUUUCGAGCACAAAAAUAAGCAGAUAUUCACAAAUCAUAAAGACCAUUCAAAGUACAAUGUAUCACUUAAGGUAGAUAAUAAGUACUUUACAAUGGGCCUUGGCACCCAGAAUAGGCUCGCAGGCCGCAGUCCGUGUCUCGGCCCUCACCACCAUCGUCGGCGCCCGGGCUAGUCUCAGGAGGAAGCACUUCUAGCUCGAACAGCUUCGCCAGCCUUUCCCCAGGGAUCUCCGCGUCGUCGAUCAAGGCAUGGAGCCUCUCCUCGUUCUCGGCGUCGGUCUUAGAAAUGUCAGUGACGAAGCCAUGGGACACCACCUCCAUAUCAUAGGAAAAGCCCAAACAGACGACCGCUAUUGCUCGCUUCACCCCAGUAUGAAGGGCGUCCCGCACUCGAUCCCUCAGCGUGGCGCCUAGGUAGCACAGCUGAUCGACCAGCGCGUCGCCUCAAGCCCCCAUCCUUGACUCGUCCGCAGGCUCGAGCUCCCAGGAGGCUGAGAGGUCGCUUAUCACAGUCCUUAGUCGACCGUUUAAAGCAACCUCCCCCUCGAGCUGAGCCUUGGCAGAGCGGGCCUCGACCUAGGCAGCCAGAAGCUCAUCCUUAAGCCCUGCAAAGACCAAUACGGGGAAAUUAGACAACACGAAGAAACACCUUGCAAAAAGAAGUAUGAAAGUGUAAAUAAGCUUACCGCGAAUCCUCUCCUCCAAAGCAGUAUUUUGACCAACCAAAUUGGUGUUUGUCCUCUCAAUCUCCUUAUAAGAUCGAGCCAGGUCAGUGUUGGCGACUCGCAAGUCCUCGAUCACCUUGCCUGCCUGCGUGAUAGCUCCCUCUUUCUCCAACAGCGCUAUCUUCAGACGAUCGACGUCGCCAGAGAGGCUGCGAGAGCAAACCCGCUCUGCCUCGAGAUCCUCGAGGGCCUUCUUCCUAGCCUCCUCUGUGGCGCUGUGAGUGAUUUCGCUCUUCACACACUCUCCCUUCAUCUCUCGAUAGGCCUCUCGGGCAGAGGCAAGGUCAGCCUUGAUUAGGCCCUUCUCCUUGUCAAGAUCGGCGGCCACGUCCUUGUAAAAUAUGGCCUCUUCCCGGGCCUUGGACGCAGCCUCCUCAACCGUCAUAGUCCGCUCCCUCAGCUGCAUGACCUCUUCUGCUGCCUUCCUUGAGGCCUCUCGAGCUUCGACCAGGGCGGCCUCCCUCUCCUUCUUCUCCUCCUCGAGCGCCACAAGGUCCUUGUAGGCUUGGAGAAGCUUCUCCUGCGACUCUAGGAGUUGGUCGUUGAGAAGAGGGAGCUGCUCCCAGCCGCCUCUCACCGCGUGAAUGAAACCAGACUUCAAGCGGGAGGUCUCUUUUAGAUCCUGCGAACCAGUAGUUGGACAAUAAGAAUACGAGGCCAAAUAAUGUUGAUUGAGCCCAUUGUUGACAAUGUCGGACAUAAGUCCCACCACGUGCUUCAUCCAGAGACGAAGCUCCUCUAGAUGCUCGCACUUCUCGGCCUCCUUCCAAUCAUCCAUAAAGAUAUUGGGCUUUGAUGGAUCGGUGGAAGCUCGGAUACGGAUCCGAUCGGGGCCCCAGUUCUCCAUCUCCUCCUCCGUGCGUGCCUUGACGCCCCGGAUGAGCUCCUGGACAGUCUCGAGCGCCCCCCCGUGACGCAAGAACAGGUCAACAAGGGAGGGGAAUCGCCCGUCGUCAUCCACUAUCCUCCAGGUCCCGGUCUCGCCGGUAUCACCUCCGCCCGACGUCCUGGCUUCAUCCUCCUCAACGGUGCUGAGAUCCUCCCACAGUCAUGGGUCUCGAAGGAAUCCAGGAGCGAUCCCCUCGAUACCAUAAAUCGUGCCCUUGAUCUCUGACUGGGGGUCCGCAGGGGUGUUGACACUUGCUAACACCACUUGAAUACUAGGUUGUCAUCCCCAGCAUGGCACUAGAGUGUACUAUGGUAUUUAUACGCACACAGAUAAUCCGCAAGCGCACGGAUACCGUUAUAGCUUUUACCCGGUUAAAGGUUUUAUCGUAUCCACAGGGAAACGGGAGAACUGAUCUACGCUCUAACUUAACCAAGAUAAGUAAAUAGGUGUAAAUAGGAAAGAUGGUAGAAUCGAAUAAGAACAAUAUUAAAGGUAAGAUAACAGUGAGUGAUAAUAUGGGAAUAGAGAAUAGAGCAAUUCUAGUAUAUGGGCGAUGGUAGCAGAAUAGAGAGAAUAACUAUGGUUUCUCUACUUCAAAGGGGUAUGUCUAUGUCUGGGAUGAACCACGUGAUAAGAGUACACCACAAAGGAUGCUUAUCCUUAGGCCGAUAAACCCUACCCGUCCUGCUAACGAGAGGUGGACUACAGAGGACCAACGUAACUGUCACCUACGCGGCCGACCACACGAUCCAGCAAGACAGGGGAUAUCCACAAGUAAUCUAGGUCUAAGCACCACGCUUACACCUAUACUACAACUCUCACCUAAAGCGUCCUAUAGAUUAAAGUACUCAAAAGAGUUGUGAACCAGAACAUACAUAAUUAGUAAUUGCAUAAUGAAUUAGAAGUAGAUUACUAGAGUCAUCCCAUGAGCAAGCUUGAUUAGAGCUUGAUCAUGAUGAAGUACAACCGGAGGAAGAACCGACAGGCCGGCCUCUCCUCUAAUCCUCCUUCGCUCUCCAUCUUGCUACUAUCUAGAUCUACUCUAGUUUAGAGAAGAGAGCUCUCAUCUCUAAACCCUAGCUUUUGCUCUGUCUAUGAAUAAUGAAUAAUGAUCAAGGGGUGCCUCCUCUAGGGGCCAGGGGGUCUGGUUAUAUAGUCCCCUCAAGUGAACCUGGGUCGUCGGAUCAAACCGACAUUGAUUGAACGAUUAUUCUUGAUCCUUUAGGUUGGUGGAGAUCUCUCGAGAGAAAGAGUCCUGAUUGGGCUCCAUGUCAGGGCGGGCGCCCAGGGCAGGAGGGCGGGCGCCCUGCCUCUGGCCCCGUUCGGCCUCCGCUUCCUUCCCGUGGCUUCUGGAGUCUUCUGGAUGUAAGAUAAUUGCGCGGCACGUUAAUAUCUCUAUGUAAUCCCGACGUGUGGGCCUAUCUUCCGUAUUUCCUGAUAACCCCCUGCAGAAAUAGACAAACACCAAAACUUGUGGAAUUCUGUCAGAUAAAACCCUAAGUUUAGAUGUUGGUUGUAUUUGGAUCCUUUUCUUUGUUUAUUUGAUGAUUAUAUUUGGUACUUAAGGACCGUCAACAACUCUCCCAAGCUUACCUCUUGCUCGUCCCUCAGCCAGGAUGGACUCAAGAGUUUCUGUAGUGGUUUUAUGCCUUAAAGGUACACAUGCAUUUAAACAAGAUCUCAUCUCUAGGUUAGGGUAAACUGUUAAGAUUUAAAACAUACUCAUAUUACCUUUCGCAACGGGGCUUGCAACCGUCACUUGUGUCUUGAGCAGUUAAAAGAUAGAACGGUCAAGUCAAGCACCAUGUCUCUUGUUCUUUGAUCAACUAUAGUUCUGGAGUUUUUGUAGAUUUUCAAAUAAAACUCAGAGAUUCCUUGUAUGACUCUCUCUAGUCUCUCUUUUGUGGUAUUUCUGGAUCCUUACCAAGGCAGUGAUGAUAUCUGCCUUCUCUCAAAGUAUGUGGUAUUUUUGGUAUGAGGCAUAGUGAUGUUGCCUUCUCUCUCACCCUACUCUAAUAAGGUUUUGAUAUAUGGAGCUCAUAGGUGGGAGAUAAAGUAUACAUACUUACAAGACAUUUAUUGUAUAGUCAAACCAUGGAUCCAAAGAAACAAAUCAAUAAGCCAAAUCAAGAUGGUGCAUGUGUGGUGAAUGAAUGGUCUAUGGUGAUGAUGGUGAUAACAAUGGUGAAAGUCUAAUUCUACUUUUGCUCUUUUGAGGGGAUACAUACCUUCCUUGCUUUUUGAAACUUUAUGAGGAGAAUGAGAUGCUCUUAUUUUUCUUUCCUCUCAGGUGGGUAUCUUGUACCCCUAAUUCUACUGUCGGACACUUGUCCAUUUUUACCUCUCGUCUCACAUUUUCUUUCUUUCGAGGUUCCGCGCACUUACCCCUUUUUAUUUCCACGUUUAUUUUUUUUCUUCUUUUCUUCUCUUUUCUUCUUUUUUUUCUUUUUUUUCUUUUUAGAGCACUCAUCUCUUGAGAUAAUAUAGCAAGUGGUAGUAGCAAGAUAACUUGAGCAUUUAUUUCACAAAGGAAAACAGAAAUAGUUUUGGCUAUUCUCUCCCGGAUUAGGAGUAGAAUAUUUUUGGGUGGUUCUGGAGAUGGACAUGGAUGGAUAUAUGUGGAUGGUACUUCCGGAGUAGAAGUAGCAUAUAUGAGUGAACGUGCAAGUGAAUCUUGAUUUAACCACAUGACAAGCUCCUAAGGGUCUACACAGCUUGACCACACUCAAUGCUCAUAAGCAGUAAAUAGUAAAUGUGUGGCUCAAAGUCUAGCAAGCACGUAUAUAUGGCCGUGGUAGGAAUUUAAACUUUCAUCAUACCGGAACUCAUCAUGCAAUAUUUUAAAGAUUUUUUAAAGAUAAAAUUCUCCAGAAUUCUAGCAUCUCUAGGAACAGAUAAACAACAGCUCAACCUUUCCAUAUCAUAUCCGUUAACAACUUAGAUUUUAGAUCAAGGUUUCAUCCCACAAGUUUAGAUCUAGAGCAAGCUUUAAAUUAUAACAGUUAUGUCUAAACUUGAGAGAGAACUUCAAAUUUGCAAAUUAGGUAGAGCAACUAUUCAUCAUAUCCAUGCUAGAGUUUUAUUAUUAAGAUUCAGAUUAGCAUAGCCACUUUAUUUAUUUAUUAAACACACUUAGCAAAAGAUAUAUAUAUAAGCACAAAAUCUUUAUUUGGUUUUUCAUAGUUUAUGUAUUUUAAUAUUCUAAUAUAAUAUAAGUAUAAAGAUAGGUAGAAGUACUUAGCGAGAUAAAUGGGGGUGCUCUCCCCCAAGCUGAAUUUUGACGUAAUUUCUCUUGAUGUAGCUAGCAGGUGGCAGAGGUGUAUUUGAAAGUCAGCAGCAUUCAGACAGCGAUUAGAAUGUCCUCCGUCUGCUCGUCUUCUUGAUUCUUAAAUUCUGUGGAGCUCAAAUAGACAACAAAGCUUGUGGAACUAAUUAAGUGUUAGCAUAAAUAUCUAGCCUUCAUCAUGUUGAGCUUCCUCAAUAAAUAUUACUCCCUAUUUUUAUAUUUUUAUUUUAUAAAGCAGAAAAGAAAUAUUUAUUUUAUUUGUAUGCCACCACAGUGAAGGUACUUAUGGGUUUUAUGCCACUCGUAUACUCACAUGGGGCUUAGUAUUUUUUAACAUUUUUAUUUUAUUUUCUAGAUAGCAUGAUUAACUUAUAAUCUAUUUAAGGAAGUAAAUAAUUAAAGGGAAAAGGGAAUGCAGAAAGCAUAAAUAUGGAUAACUACUGAUCUUACCUUUCGGCGAGGGUUCAAUGUUUUAAGUCUUCUUAACAAGACUUCUCACCGUGUUCAUUCUUCAGGUGCGUCAUUUGAUUCAGGUGCUUUACUUGGUAGAGUCUGAGAGUUAUAAAACUCCUCCGUGUUUUGCUCGAAGUGUACCUGCUCAUAGAGACAAGGCAGAGAUCAAGUGCAUGGGUCCUGUUGGUGGAAAACACCAACAGAACCUAAAGUGUAUUUGUUCUUCUCUAACCCUAAGCAUAGUGAGCAAGACAAAGUUGAUGGAUGAAAAGUUCAUGAGUGUAGCACUUAUAACAUUUGUCAGAUCAGAUCACUCAAACUUAUGGAAAGAUAAUCUAUCUAUGUAUAUGUCUUUUUCUUUAUAUCUCUCAAAGAUUGAAUGUGUAACAUUUUAGCUCAUAUGAUUAGGAGUGUGGGAUCAUGGAGGUAGUACUAAGAACAAGGAUUAAAUGACUAAACAUGUUGAAUCAGUUGGGUUGGUUAAUCUGGAGUUGUAAAUCAUACAUGUUUGUCUCUUUUAUUUAUAUGAACGCUAGAACCAUGGAGAAGCUUAUAAAAGUGAUAGUCAAGUACCUUAAGAUGUUACCUUGCUUGAAGAGUGAUGGUACAAUAUCACCUUGUGGAAGCUUUCCUUUCUUAGCGGUUGUGCAUCGUGUUUGUGGCACCCUCCAUGGAUCAUCUCUCUAUGAUGAAUGAGCUAUGUCCUUCUUGUGCAAAUUGUUAAACUUCAUGUGUCACUCUCUUCAUCUCUGAUGUGAGUUUAUCUCAGGACUUCCCAAAUCGAUAUUGAAAGUUUUUCUGCAGGGGUUAGUCCGACAAAAAUAUACCAAUGUCUACACAAGCAGUUUUUAGUUCAAUAACCGAACUAGACUCCAUGUCUAAUCAGAUUAAGGAAGGCUGUUUAACCUAAGCACCAUGCUUAAUUUAAAAGCCAAUAGAAGUAUGUGCAGUACUUCCAAACUAACACUUACUAGUAAAUAGACAAAGGUAGCAUGACAGCAUUUAUAGAGAUCUACUCAAGUGGAGAUGAAGUAGUGUGAUUAGUAUUUAACAAAUUGAGCAUGUCUUAAAGGUAGGGACAACCAACAUAGCUACAUGGCAAAGGAUGUUUUUAUGUAAAGUACUCCCCCAAGCUUGAAUUUUGCAGAAUUCAAGUUUGGAUGAAUUUAAUUCAAUGUUGUAUGAUGAUUGGUUGGACAUACCUUGUGCUUGCUUGUCAUUCAUCUGAUCUUCUUGUUCCAAUCUUGGAAAGGUUAGUGACAAGAAUACCUGAAGGAAUAUUUUUACAAUUAUCCUUAUAUGCUCAAUACACAAGGUAAUGUUGCAAAUAAUUAAAAACUCAUGUUAUGAUCUGAUCAGUGCUUAUUUUAGGACACCAAGCUUGUCCUUGGGAAACCAUCAAUUUAUGUCGGCGAAGUGGUUUCCCUUCCAACGCUGACCUAAAUCAAGAUCAACUCAACGAGAUCUGCAAUAUUUAUUAUAGACAUAUGCAUCGACAACCGCCCUUUUAAAGUUUUUAUAAAUAGAAAGGAAGAGGGGGUUGGAGAUCUCAAAUGUGGUGAUGUUGGAGAGACCAAUAGAUUGGGAAGAUGUUGCAUAUGAGCAUGGAGUAAACUAAGUGGCUAUGAAAUAAAUUCUAUGCUCAUUAAUAUUAUCUUCGUCUCCAAUCUGAAUGUUCAGAGUUUCUCUUCGAUUGGUCUCACUUAUGUCCUCUUCUAUAGUUGGAUGAAUCCCAUCUUCAAAGGGAGUCAAGAACUCACCAUUUGAAAUUGAACCAAAGUCAGAAUUCAUUAAGGCUUCUUCCUUAUCCAUCCAUUCUACACAUUCUAGCCAUUUAGAACUUGUGAUCAGGAAAGGGGAGGUGUUAGAAUUUUCAAUAUGGCUUAGCUCUCCUUUACUUGAUGUGUCAUCCUCGACUUCUUCAUAACAGGAACUAGGACAUUCUCUAAGAGAACCAUUAUUGCGAGGAUUUGAAUUAUCCCUGCUUGAAGGUCUCUUAUAGAACCAGAAGUCUAAACCAUCAGCAUCUGAAAGAUUUAAGGUCGGAAUUCCUUCCUCCCUUGGAGAAUUUUGGGGUAUUGAUGGUUUAGGAUCGAUAGCUAAAGUUUGGAAUUGAAGUGGUUGUGAUCUGUCUAUCAAAACUUCUUCUUCUUAUCUAGGAACUGGUUCUGUCUCUUUCUCAGGGAUAUAAAAGCUAGGAGACUUUCCACUUAAUAAAUCAAUCAAAUUCCAAGCUUCACUAGCAGGUAGGUGAUAGAAGGAUCCUCUAGAGGAUGUAUUCAAGGUUUGCUUAUUUUCCCCACUAAGGCCCUCAAAAAAGUGAAUUAGAAGAACUUCUUCUGGAAUAGAAAGCUUUGGGCCAGUGAGAGUAAGGUUAAUAAAGCGGUCCCACGAUUUGCUAAGAGAUUCUUCUUCCAGUUGUCUAAAAGAAAUAAUCUCACGCGAAAGUUCUGCCACUUUAGAGAUUGGAAAAUAUUUUAAAAGAGAACGGAAAGAGCUUCCAUUUAAUGGUCUCAUCGGACAUGCCUUCUAUGCGAAGGAGGUCACAGACUCGAUAAAACUCUCUUAGGUGUGUGUAUGGGUUUUCCUCACCUUCUCCUGAGAAAGGUUGGUUUUGAACAAAUUCUAUGUAUUCGGGGUCUAUCUCAAAACUAGAUGCUAUGAUAGGCUUUGAAGAUUUUGGUGGAUCGAGAUGUGUGCCAGUAGGUCUAUGAAAUUCAUAGAUAGACAUGUUUGAAUUCAUGGUAGACCAAAGAUCAAGGAUUAGAUAAGAAGAAAGAUUAGCAGAGAUGAGGCAAAGGAUAAAAGGAAAAUAUUUUUUUUUAUUUUUUUUAGAAAAUGAUUAAGCUAGUUCGUAGUCAACUCAGCAACCGUUUCCCCGGCAACGGGGCCAAAAAUGCUUGUUGACACUUGCUAACACCACUUGAAUACUAGGUUGUCAUCCCCAGCAUGGCACUAGAGUGUACUAUGGUAUUUAUACGCACACAGAUAAUCCGCAAGCGCACAGAUACCGUUAUAGCUUUUACCCGGUUAAAGGUUUUAUCGUAUCCACAGGGAAACGGGAGAACUCAUCUACGCUCUAACUUAACCAAGAUAAGUAAAUAGGUGUAAAUAGGAAAGAUGGUAGAAUCGAAUAAGAACAAUAUUAAAGGUAAGAUAACAGUGAGUGAUAAUAUGGGAAUAGAGAAUACAGCAAUUCUAGUAUAUGGGCGAUGGUAGCAGAAUAGAGAGAAUAACUAUGGUUUCUCUACUUCAAAGGGGUAUGUCUAUGUCUAGGACGAACCACGUGAUAAGAGUACACCACAAAGGAUGCUUAUCCUUAGGCCGAUAAACCCUACCCGUCCUGCUAACGAGAGGUGGACUACAGAGGACCAACGUAACUAUCACCUACGCGGCCUACCACACGAUCCAGCUAGACAGGGGAUAUCCACAAGUAAUCUAGGUCUAAGCACCACGCUUACACCUAUACUACAACUCUCACCUAUAGCGUCCUAUAGAUUAAAGUACUCAAAAGAGUUGUGAACCAGAACAUACAUACUUAGUAAUUGCAUAAUGAAUUAGAAGUAGAUUACUAGAGUCAUCCCAUGAGCAAGCUUGAUUAGAGCUUGAUCAUGACGAAGUACAACUAGAGGAAGAACCGACAGGCCGACCUCUCCUGUAAUCCUCCUUCGCUCUCCAUCUUGCUACUAUCUAGAUAUACUCUAGUUUAGAGAAGAGAGGAAAGCUCUCAUCUCUAAACCCUAGCUUUUGCUCUGUCUAUGAAUAAUAAAUAAUGAUCAAGGGGUGCCUCCUCCAGGGGCUAGGGGGUCUAGUUAUAUAGUCCCCUCAUGUGAACCUGGGCCGUCGGAUCAAACCGACAUUGAUUGAACGGUUAUUCUUGAUCCUUUAGGUCGGUGGAGAUCUUCCGAGAGAAAGAGUCCUGAUUGGGCUCCAUGUCAGGGCGGGCGCCCAGGGCAGGAGGGCGGGCGCCCUGCCUCUGGCCCCGUUCGGCCUCCGCUUCCUUCCCGUGGCUUCUGAAGUCUUCUAGAUGUAAGAUAAUUGCGCGGAAUGUUAAUAUCUCUAUGUAAUCCCGACGUGUGGGCCUUUCUUCCGUAUUUCCUGAUAACCCCCUGCAGAAAUAGACAAACACCAAAACUUGUGGAAUUCUGUCAGAUAAAACCCUAAGUUUAGAUGUUGGUUGUAUUUGGAUCCUUUUCUUUGUUUAUUUGAUGAUUAUAUUUGGUACUUAAGGACCGUCAACAAGGGGUGCACAUGGCGUAGGCAAGCGCCACCACACCGUUUGCUCACCCUGGCUCAGCCGGGAUGGAAGUAGGCGCCCCCUGAAGGAGCCACGCAGGGGUUGGAGGACCGUAAGCUGGCAACUCCUCCUCCUCGGCCUCGGGCCCUUGCGGCGGUGACGAUUCCGGCUGGCGCGGGCUAUGCAGUGGCGGUUCGAGCUGCUCUUCCGUGGCAGUUCGAGCUGCUCUUCCAACUGUUGGCUCCGUUGCUGCUGCUGUCGUUGGAGUUCCAGCAGCUCCUGCUGCCGACACUGCUCCAACUCAUCUUCGAGUGGCCCUCCCCGCCGUAGCUGUGGCUGCUCCUCCAGCGGCUGUUGCCGUGGCUCCUGCUCGCGAUCUUCUUCUUGCUUCUUCCUCCUCUCCUCGACGGAGUGGAGCCCGAUGGGCCAAGGCGUCCUAACUUUGGCCUCGACCUCUUCAUCCACGGUGCGGACAUCCUUCGAGAGCUGAUCACCGCCAGAUCCAUCACUAAUGGUAAUGGGAUCCCCAACGCCUCCAGACUGGGGAGGCUCAGGGGCUCCCUCUUGCUCUUGAGGGUGAGGCGUCUCGACCCGCCUCGGUGACGGCGGGGCGGUCUCUCCCACCGAUGGACGAUGCGGGGUACCCUCGACGCCUAUCGAUGGUCGAGGAUCGGACAAACCUAUGUGCAUUCAAAAACAACACGUCAGCCGCUAAGAAGCUCGAUGCAAGAAUCACACAACUCCAACACUAUUGAAAGGAGAAUGAACCGCUCACCCGAAUCUUUGGGAACCGCCCCCACCUUUAGCUUCUUGGCCAUCGAGGGCUGGGCCUGUUCCAGCGGCCGCUUCAACCUGAGGAAGAGGGGAAUAACAUAAGAAAGACCGUAGCACAAGAAUGCACAAAGACAUCAGAAAACAAGAACCACAACGUUAAAAUCUUACCCCACCGGAAGAGCGACCCGCCUGCCGGCACCUCGACUAGCUUGUCUCGAGCCGCCCCGCGUCGAGACCCCAGGCCUUUCGUGGGCAGGUGUGGGCUUCGGCUCGACGUUUCCCGACCGACGAGCGUCAGGGCCAGAGGCGCCACGACCUACUUCCCCCUGACUUGAGGCCGCGGCGCGGCCAUGGGUCAGUGGCCCCAUCACCAUAGUCUUGACCCGGCGGCCCGCCCGAGGCGUGGGAGGAGGAUGGGGGCGAGAAACGGCCCAACCUAGCGCAGGCGGCGGAGGGGUGUCGGCGCGAGAACGGCUCUGUGAGGACUCCCUCUGAUGGCCGUCGCGGGGUCUGCCCGACGCCCUCUUAGGGGCUCCCGUCCGAGGAACGUCAACGUCGACCUGCAGAGGGCCCUUGAGGAUCUUGUCAAGAUGAGCCGCCAUCCCCUCAGAAUCGUCGCUGCCAUCGCCGCCCUCGUUGCCGUCAUCCUCGUCGGGAGAGUCCUCCUCGGGUUCCCCCCUCUGCCUGGAUUUUGCACGACGUGUCUGGUGACGGUCCUUAAGUAUCAAAUUUAAUUAUCAAAUAAACAAAGAAAAGGAUCCAAAUGAAGUCAACAUCUAGACUUAGGGUUUUUUCUGACAGAAUUCCACGAGUUUUGGUGUUUGUCUAUUUCUGCAGGGGCUUAUCAGGAAAUACGGAAGAAAGGCCCACACGUCGGGAUUACAUAGAGAUAUUGACGUGCCGCGCAAUUAUCUUACAUCUAGAAGACUCCAGAAGCCACGGGAAGCAAGCGGAGACCGAACGGGGCCAGAGGCAGGGCGCCCGCCCUCCUGCCCUCGGCGCCCGCCCACCUCUGGAGGCCAAUCAGGACUCUGUUUCUCGGGAGAUCUCCACCGACCUAAAGGAUCAAGGAUAACCAUUCAAUCUAUGUCGGUUUGAUCUGAUGGCCCGGGUUCACUUGAAGGGACUAUAUAACCAGACCCCCUGGCCCCUGGAGGAGGCACCCUUUGAUCAUUAUUCAUUAUUCAUAGACAGAGCAAAAGCUAGGGUUUAGAGAUGAGAGCUCUCCUCUCUUCUCUAAACUAGAGUAGAUCUAGAUAGUAGCAAGAUGGAGAGCGAAGGAGGAUUAGAGGAGAGGCCGGCCUGUCGGUUCUUCCUCCGGUUGUACUUCGUCAUGAUCAAGCUCUAAUCAAGCUUGCUCAUGGGAUGACUCUGGUAAUCUACUUCUAAUUCAUUAUGCAAUUACUAAUUAUGUAUGUUCUGGUUCACAACUCUUUUGAGUAUUCUAAUCUAUAGGACGCUAUAGGUGAGAGUUGUAGUAUAGGUGUAAGCGAGGUGCUUAGAUCUAGAUUACUUGUGGAUAUCCCCUGUCUAGCUAGAUCGUGUGGUAGGCCACGUAGGUGACAGUUACGUUGGUCCUCUGUAGUCCAUCUCUCGUUAGCAGGACGGGUAGGGUUUAUCGGCCUAAGGAUAAGCAUCCUUUGUGGUGUACUCUUAUCACAUGGUUCGUCCCAGACAUAGACAUACUCCUUUGAAGUAGAGAAACCAUAGUUAUCCUCUCUAUGCUGCUACCAUCGCCCAUAUACUAGAAUUGCUCUAUUCUCUAUUCCCAUAUUAUCACCCACUGUUAUCUUACCUUUAAUAUUGUUCUUAUUCGAUUCUACCAUCUUUCCUAUUUACACCUAUUUACUUAUCUUGGUUAAGUUAGAGCGUAGAUCAGUUCUCCCGUUUCCCUGUGGAUACGAUAAAACCUUUAACCGGGUAAAAGCUUCAACAGUAUCCGUGCGCUUGCGGAUUAUCUGUGUGCGUAUAAAUACCAUAGUACACUCUAGUGCCAUGCUGGGGAUGACAACCUAGUAUUCAAGUGGUGUUAGCAAGUGUCAACAGCGUCUCCAGCGCUUGUUGCUCAAGAUUUUUCUUCUUUUCCUUCUUCUUUUCUAAGUCCUUUGUGGACUUCUGCAUCUCCACGGACUCGCGCCUCCUGUCACGAUCGAUGUCGUCCUGCUUUACCGGAGGCCUCGACGAUCGAGCAUCAAUCGAUCCCUGUGUGGGUGGGAAUAAGUCUAAAGAAGGGUCAAAAAAUCGGGAAUUGAAGUCAUAGCAAUAAGAAUGACUUACCAGGUCAAUCGACCCCUCAUUGGGCCUCAUGGGGAAGCCGUUGACGCGCUUAGGCUGAAAAUCGCCUGCGACGGCCGCCCUGACUCUGGCGGCGACCUCGUCGUCCGCGGGCUCCUCGUUGUACAUCCGGCACGCCUCGAGGUCACGAGAUGAAACGCCAGGGCCCAUUUCAUCCAUCCUUAGCUGCCGAGAUAUCAAUGGGAGUACCCAUUUCGCCUUCCUCAUGAAGUUUCUUCAGAGCGUCGAGGAUGGGAUGGAGCCGCGACUGGAGGGUCUUGACGACGCCAUAGUUCUAGUGGUCCGAACGCUCCGAGAUCAAGCGCCCGAUGUAGUCGGGGAAGAGGUCGUCGUCGUUCCACAGGUAGAACCACUGGGAGUCCCACUCGGCGUGGUUCGACGUCAGCCCCACCGGGAUGUACUCUCGAGGCUCCUCCACCUUGCCGGUCUUCAGCACCAGGUUGAGGCAGCCGGCCCGCACCGGCUUCCUCACCCCUGUAGCCCCAUCGGGGGCUUUGAAGAGCUCGCCCUGGUACAGGUGGAGCCUUAGGUCCCAGUGCGGCAUCAUCCCAAGGUAGCCCUCACACACCGUAGCAAAAAUCGCCGCGACGGUGAUCGCGUUCGGCGAAAAAUGAUGGAGCUCCACGCUGUAGUGGUGGCAGAGCGCCCGCAUAAAGCGGCUCGGAGGGGAACCUAGACCAUGGCGGUGAAACUUGGCGAAUGAGACCACGUACCCCUUGGGAGGUCUCAGCUCCCAGUGGUCCGCGGCCGGUGCGAUCCACUCCGGCCGCGACGAGGAAACGCGAGGGCGUAGGAGCCCCUACUUCUCAAGCUCCAACAGCCGGCGCUCCGUCAUCGACGACGGGCGCGAGUCAUCGACGGCAAUGAGUCUCACCGGCAUCUUGAGGAGGAAGGAAAGUGGCUCCGCUACCGUGUGCUCGAGGAUGCGCGCGCACGUGGAGAUGGCAAGGAGGCAGAGGCAAGAACAAAUGCGGAAGGCGGAAGGAAUAAUGGCUGGAAGACCCAACGAUAUUUAUAGAUGGCUAACCUCCAACGGACAGAUCCGGCGGAUGCGGUAACUUCCCUAGUAAAUGCGCCGCCUAACGGUCCUUGUUUCUCUCACUAACAGGGCAUUACGAAUUCCACGACGGUGCGGUGCCGCAACGGCUCCCACCUGAAAAGGCGCGCCCAACGGGCGAAAAGGUGAACCGCGUGACCUUUCCUUCCCCUGUAAGCUAAGGUACGCACCUGUUGCGAUGAAAAUCUCGAGAGAUCGAAGGCUGGCCCACCGAACGAGUCCGACAGCCGAUCUCGAGUACCAGAGUCAAGGAUGCCCAGCGUGUGGUCGAAUAACGAGGCCCGCCUCGAGAACUCACUGGGAUGUCCAAGGCGAAGAUGAGACGGUCGAGAGGAAUCCUCAUGAAGGGAGGCAGCGAGCCGCUGGACUCUAUCGAAUGAGACCAGUAACCCGGACCAUGUUGACCCCGCUUUAUGAGAACGCCUCCAGGCUGCAGCUGACCUCCUCGAACGGGGCACAGGUUCUCACUUGGAUUACCCGACAGGAGCUCGACCUGGGGUAGGUGACGCUCGGUGCACCGGGGGUACGUCACGACCCUGAUGCGGAACCAGCCGAUCGAGGCCCAAAGCCCCCCUUCCAUAACGGGCAACUUUCGGAGAAGGGGGAAUCGAGAGCGUUUCCAUCAGAAAGGGCAACAUAACCCUCGAAGGAGUCAAUAACUCCUCCAAGGGCUCGGGGGCUACCCCCACGGGGUUGCUCGCGCGACCCCACAGAAACUCGACCGACGAAAGAGCUUCUACUCGAGCCCAAGCGCUCAAAUAGAGACUCGGAGGCUACUGUCGAGGGUAUCAGUAAGGGGUACCCUAACCAACGCAUAUAACGAGAGGACCUGUACGUAAAUUGAGGCCCCUCACUCGACGCCCUCCGAUCGUACGUGCGAUUGCCAAGACGAGACGACGACCAUAGCCUCGAACAUGGAGAGAGCGUUGUGCGAAUCGACCAAGGCUCGACCGAGCAACGACCGUCGAAUACGGAAACUGGCUCGUACAAAUCGACAGGCCUCGAGCGCAAGGAUGCCGUCUGUUGAUAUUUGGUAACACCAUCAGGAAAUGAUCCGCAAGUGCAUGGAUAUCGGUGAGCACUUCACCCGGGAGGUUAUCUAGAGUAUCGUAUUUAUAUUUUUACCACUGGGAGAAAGCGUGCAUCUGACUAACCAAAUCUAUUGCUACUACCCUUUAGGCUACAAAGAAUGUUUCUCGAUGUGAGUGAUGUAUAGAGAAGAUUGCAACCGUAGUCUCGUUCUAACCUUGGUAAGGAUGGUCUACUGUUCUAUUGGGGAAGCUUACGGAAUCUAGACACCACAAAGGAUGUUCGACCCGCACCUAUAACCCUACCCAUCCUGCUAGCGAGAUGUGGGAUGCAAAGGUAACUUAGAAAUGUCAUGCUCCUCGCUACUACCACGGUCCAGCUAGUCAAGGGAUAUCUAUGAGUACCCUAGCCGAAACACCACGUUUACGCUAGCAAUGAUUACUCUAAACUCAACCAGAAGAGAUUAAAGUAAACUUAUAAACCAAAGAACAAUAAAACAAGAACUUACUAGAAUAAGAAGUCGAAUUACUGAAGAAUCCUAGGAGCAAGCCUCGGGUUAGAAGACUUGAUCCCGUAGGUACAACCUCAGAGUAGACACCGACAGGCCAGGCUUCCUCCGAUCUACACCUCCACUCUAUCUCUCUCAAUCUAGUAGAAACUAGAAGAUCUAAUUCUACUCACAUUGGAUGCUAAGCCCUAAGUCUAUUUAGAGGAGAGGUAUUCCUUCGAGGGCUCCUCUCAACUCUAUGAUGAACUUGUUCUCCUCCAGGAGCCAGGGGGUCUGCUUAUAUAGUCCCUUCAAGUGAAUCUGGGCUGUCGGAUCAAACCGACAUUGAUUGAACAGUUAUCCUUGAUCCUUAAGGUCGGUGGAGCGUAAUCCCCGAAGAGAGUCCUGAUUGGACUCUGGGAUAGGGCAGGCGCCCUAGGGGGAGGGCGGGCGCCCUGCCCCCGGGCCCGUUCACCUUCCCGUUCAUUCCCGUGGCUUCUGGAGUCUUCUAGGUGAUAGAAAAUUGCGCGGCACGUUAAUAUCUCUAUGUAAACCUGACGUGUGGGCCUUUCUUCCGUAUUUCCUGAUAACCCCUUGCAGAAAUAGACAAACACCAAAACUCGUGGAAUUCUGUCGGAUAAAACCCUAUGUCUGGGUGUUUGUUACAUUUGGAUCCUUUUCUUUAUUUAUUUGAUGAUUAUAUUUGGUACUUAAGGACCAUCGACAACUCCCCCAAGCUUACCUCUUGCUCGUCCCUGAGCAAGCAUGAACUCAAGAGUUUCUGCAGUGGUUUCAUGCCUCAAAAGUAAGAUCUCAUCUCUGAGUUAGAGUAAACUGUUAAGACUUAAAACUUACUCAUUUUACCUUUCACCAUGGGGCCUGUAACCGUCACUUGUGUCUUGAGCAGCUAAAAGAUAGAACGGUCAAGUCAAGCGCCAUGUCUCUUAUUCUUUAUCAGCUAUAGCUCUGGAGUUUUUGCAGAUUUUCAAAUAAAACUCAGAGAUUCCUUGUAUGACUCUCUCUAGUCUCUCUUUUGUGUUAUUUCUGGAUCCUUUCCAAGGCAGUAAUGGUAUAUGCCUUCUCUCAAAGUAUGUGGUAUUUUUGGUAUGAGGCAUAGUGAUAUUGCCUUCUCUCUCACCCUACUCUAAUAAGGUUUUGAUAUCUAGAGCUCAAAGGUGGGAGACAGCUAAUACAUACUUACAAGACAUUUAUUGCAUAGUCAAACCAUGGAUCCAGAGAAACAAGUCAAUAAGUCAAAUCAAGAUGUGCAUGUGUGGCGAAUGAAUGGUGUAUGGUGAUGAUGGUGAUAACAAUGGUGAAAGUCUAAUUCUACUUUUGCUCUUUUAAAGGGAUACAUACCUUUCGAGAUACAUACCUUUCUUGCUCAUUGAAGUUUUUUGAGGAGAAUGAGAUGCUCUACAUUUUCUUUUUCUUCUUUUCUCUCAGGUGGGUAUCAUGUACCCCUAAUUCUACUGUCGGACACUUGUCCAUUUUUACCUCUCGUCUCACUUUUCCUUUUCUUCAAAGUUCCGGGCACUUGACCAUUUUUAUUUCCUCGUAUUUUUCCUUUUCUAUUUUUUAGAGAGCACUCAUCUCCUGAAAUAAUGUAGCAAGUGGUAGUAACCAAAAUAACUGGAGCAUUUAUUUCACAUGGAAUAAAAGGGAUAGGAAAAUAUUUUUGGCUAUUCUCUUCCGGAUUAGGAGUAGAAUAAUUUUAGGUGAGUCUGGAGAUGGAAAUGAGUGGAUAUAUGUGGAUGCGUACUUCCGGAGUAGAAGCAGCAUGUGUGAGUGAACGUGCAAGUGAAUCUUGAUUUUAACCGCAUGACAAGCUCCUAAGGGUCUACGCAGCUUGACCACACUCAAUGCUCAUAAGCAGUAAAAAGUAAAUGUGUGGCUCAAAGUCUAGCAAGCAUGUAUAUAUAUGGCUGUGGUAGGAAUUAAACUCUCAUCAUAUAGGAACUCAUCAUGUGUUAUUUUAAAGAUUUUCAAAGAUAAAAUUCUCUAGAAUUCUAGCAUCUCUAGGAACAGAUAAACAACAACUCAACCUUCCCAUAUCAUAUCCGUUAAUGACUUAGACUUUAGAUCAAGUACUCUUCCCACAAGUUCAAGUUUAGAGCAGGUUUAAAUUAUAACAGUUAUGCCUAAACAUGAGAGAGAUUUCAAUUUUAAGAACUAGUCAUGGCAGAGCAACUAUUCAUCAUUUCCAUGUGAGAGCUUAUCAUAAGGGUUCAUUGCAAACUUUAUUUAUUUAUUUAUUUAGCAAAUAAAGCAAAGAUAAAAGCACAAAAUCUUUAUUUGGGUUUUUUAUGAUUAUGCAUCUUUUUAUUAUUUGUGUAAAGUAUAAACGCGAGUAGAAACACUUAGUUGGAUAAAUAGGGGUGCUCUCCCCGAAGCUGGAUUUUGACGUAAUUUCUUCUGAUGUAGCUAGCAAGUGACGGAGGUGUAUUUGAAUGUUGGCAGCACCCUGACAGCGAUUAGGAUGUCCUCUGUCUGCUAGCCUUCUUUGAUCCUUGGAUUCUGUGGAGCUCAAAUAGACAACAAAGCUUUGUGGAACUGGUUAAGUGUUAGCAUAAAUAUCUAGCCUUUAUCGAGCCUCCUCAAUAAAUGUUAUUUAUUUAGCAGGAUCAUGCACUUAUUAUUUUUAUAUUUUUAUUGUAAGAUGAAAACAUAUUUAUUUUAUGCCACCACAGUGAAUGUACCUAUGGGUUUUAUGCCAUGAGCAUACUCACAUGGGCUUACUAUUUUUAACAUUUUUAUUUUCUUUUCGAGAUGAUAUUGUUGACGAUCCUUAAGUAUCAAAUUUAAUUAUCAAAUAAACAAAGAAAAGGAUCCAAAUGAAAUCAACAUCUAGACUUAGGGUUUUAUCUGACAGAAUUCCAUGAGUUUUGGUGUUUGUCUAUUUUUGCAGGGGGUUAUGAGGAAAUACGGAAGAAAGGCCCACAUGUCGGGAUUACAUAGAGAUAUCAACGUACCGCGCAAUUAUUUUACAUCUAGAAGACUCCAGAAGCCACGGGAAGGAAGCGGAGGCCGAACAGAGCCAGGACCUGGGCGCCCGCCCAAGUCCUUAGGGCGCCCACCCUGCUACAGUGGCCAAUCACGUUCAACCUCGCAGAUUAUGCUCCACCAACCUAAAGGAUCAAGAAUAACCGUUAAAUCAAUGUCGGUUUGAUCUGACGGCCCAGGUUCACUUGAGGGGACUAUAUAACCAGAGCCCCUAGCCCCUGGAGGAGGCAACCCCUUGAUCAUUAUUCAUUAUUCAUAGACAGAGCAAAAGCUAGGGUUUAGAGAUGAGAUCUCUCCUCUCUUCUUUAAACUAGAGUAGAUCUAGAUAGUAGCAAGAUGGAGAGCGAAGGAGGAUUAGAGGAGAGGCCGGCCUGUCGGUUCUUCCUCCAGUUGUACUUCGUCAUGAUCAAGCUCUAAUCAAGCUUGCUCAUGGGAUGACUCUGGUAAUCUACUUCUAAUUCAUUAUGCAAUUACUAAUUAUGUAUGUUCUGGUUCACAACUCUUUUGUGUAUUCUAAUCUAUAGGACGCUAUAGGUGAGAGUUGUAGUAUAGGUGUAAGCAUGGUGCUUAGACCUAGAUUACUUGUGGAUAUCCCCUGUCUAGCUGGAUCGUGUGGUAGGCCGCGUAGGUGACACUUACGUUGGUCCUCUGUAGUCCACCUCUCGUUAGCAGGACGGGUAGGGUUUAUCGGCCUAAGGAUAAGCAUCCUUUGUGGUGUACUCUUAUCACGUGGUUCGUCCCAGACAUAGACAUACUCCUUCGAAGUAGAGAAACCAUAGUUAUCCUCUCUAUUCUGCUACCAUCGCCCAUAUACUAGAAUUGCUCUAUUCUUUAUUCCCAUAUUAUCACUCACUGUUAUCUCACCUUUAAUAUUGUUCUUAUUCGAUUCUACCAUCUUUCCUAUUUACACUUAUUUACUUAUCUUGGUUAAGUUAGAGCGUAGAUCAGUUCUCCCGUUUCCCUGUGGAUACGAAAAACCUUUAACCGGGUAAAAGCUUCAACGGUAUCCGUGCGCUUGCGGAUUAUCUGUGUGCGUAUAAAUACCAUAGUACACUCUAGUGCCAUGCUGGGGAUGACAACCUAGUAUUCAAGUGGUGUUAGCAAGUGUCAACAAGCAUUUUUGGCGCCGUUGCCGGGGAGACGGUUGUUGAGUUGACUACGAACUAGCUUAAUCAUUUUCUAAAAAAAAUAAUAAAAAAAUAUUUUCCUUUUAUCCUUUGCCUUAUCUCUGCUAUUCUUUCUUCUUAUCUAAUCCUUGAUCUCUAGUCUAUCAUGAAUUCAAACAUGUCUAUCUAUGAAUUCCAUAGACCUACGGGCACACAUCUCGAACCACCAAAAUCUUCAAAGCCUAUCAUAGCAUCUAGUUUUGAGAUAGACCCUGAAUACAUAGAAUUUGUUCAAAAACAACCUUUCUCAGGAGAAGGUGAGGAAAACCCAUACACACACCUAAGAGAGUUUUAUCGAGUCUGUGACCUCCUUCGCAUGGAAGGAAUGUCCGAUGAGACCCUUAAAUGGAAGCUCUUUCCGUUCUCUUUAACGGGAAAAGCUAGACAUUGGUACAAACUCAAAAUAGGGAGUGUUCAUGGAGAUUGGAAGGAGUUACAUAAUAGUUUUCUUUUAAAAUAUUUUCCAAUCUCUAAAGUGGCGGAACUUCGGCGUGAGAUUAUUUCUUUUAGACAACUAGAAGAAGAAUCUCUUAGGAAAUCAUGGGACCGCUUUAUUAACCUUACUCUCACUGGCCCAAAGCUUUCUAUUCCAGAAGAAGUUCUUCUAAUUCACUUUUUUGAGGGCCUUAGUGGGGAAAAUAAGCAAACCUUGAGUACAGCCUCUAGAGGAUCCUUCUAUCACCUACCUGCUAAUGAAGCUUGGAAUUUGAUUGAUUUAUUAAGUGGAAAGUCUCCUAGCUUUUAUAUCCCUGAGAAAGAGACAAAACCAGUUCCUAGACAAGAAGAAGAAGUUUCGAUAGCCAGAUCACAACCACUUCAAUUCCAAACUUUAGCUGUCGAUCCUAAACCAUCAAUACCCCAAAAUUCUCCAAGGGAGGAAGGAAUUCCGAUCUUAAAUCUUUCAGAUGCUGAUGGUUUAGACUUCUGGUUCCAUAAGAGACAUUCAAGCAGGGAUAAUUCAAAUCCUCGCAAUAAUGGUUCUCUUAGAGAAUGUCCUGGUUCCUGUUAUGAAGAAGUCGAGGAUGACACAUCAAGUAAAGGAGAGCUAAGCCAUAUUGAAAAUUCUAACACCUCCCCUUUCCUGAUCACAAGUUCUAAAUGGCUAGACUGUGUAGUAUGGAUGGAUAAGGAAGAAGCCUUAAUGGAUUCUGACUUUGGCUCAAUUUCAAAUGGUGAGUUCUUGACUCCCUUUGAAGGUGAGAUUCAUCCAACUAUAGAAGAGGACAUAAGUGAGACCAAUCCAGGAGAAACUCCAAACAUUCAGAUUGGAGACGAAGAUAACAUUAAUGAGCAUGGAAUUUAUUUCAUAGCCACUUUGUUUACUCCAUGCUCAUAUGCAACAUCUUCCCAAUCUAUUGGUCUCUCCAACAACACCACAUUUGAGAUCUCCAACCCCCUCUUCCUUUCUAUUUAUAAAAACUUUAAAAGGGCGGUUGUCGAUGCAUAUGUCUAUAAUAAAUAUUGCAGAUCUCGUUGAGUUGAUCUUGAUUUAGGUCAGCGUUGGAAGGGAAACCACUUCACCGACAUAAAUUGAUGGUUUCCCAAGGACAAGCUUGCUGUCCUAAAAUAAGCACUUAUCAGAUCGUAACAUGAGUUUUAAAUUAUUUGCAACAUUACCUUGUGUAUUGAGCAUAUAAGGAUAAUUGUAAAAAUAUUCCUUCGGGUAUUCUUGUCACUAACCUUUCCAAGAUUGGAACAAGAAGAUUAGAUGAAUGACAAGCAAGUACAAGGUAUGUCCAACCAAUCAUCAUGCAACACUGAAUUAAAUUCAUCCAAACUUGAAUUCUGCAAAAUUCAAGCUUGGGGGAGUACUUUACAUAAAAACAUCCUUUGCCAUGUUGCUAUGUUGGUUGUCUCUACCUUUAAGACAUGCUCAAUUUGUUAAAUACUAAUCACACUACUUCAUCUCCACUUGAGUAGAUCUCUAUAAAUGUUGUCAUGCUACCUUUGUCUAUUUACUAGUAAGUGUUAGUUUGGAAGUACUACACAUACUUCUAUUGGCUUUUAAAUUAAGCAUGGUGCUUAGGUUAAACAACCUUCCUUAAUCUGAUUAGACAUGGAGUCUAGUUCGGUUAUUGAACUAAAAACUACUUGUGUAGACAUUGGUAUAUUUUUGUCGGACUAACCCUUGCAGAAAAACUUUCAAUAUCGAUUUGGGAAGUCCUGAGAUAAACUUACAUCAGAGACGAAGAGAGUGACACAUGAAGUUUAACAAUUUGCACAAGAAGGACAUAGCUCAUUCAUCAUAGAGAGAUGAUCCAUGGAGGGUGCCACAAACACGAUGCACAACCACUAAGAAAGGAAAGCUUCUACAAGGUGAUACUACACCAUCACUCUUCAAGCAAGGUAACAUCUUAAGGUACUUGACUAUCACUUUUAUAAGCUUCUCCUUGGUUCUAGCGUUCAUAUAAAUAAAAGAGACAAACAUGUAUGAUUUACAACUCUAGAUUAACCAACCCAGCUGAUUCAACAUGUUUAGUCCUUUAACCCUUGUUCUUAAUACUACCUCCAUGAUCCCACACUCCUAAUCAUAUGAGCUAAAAUGUUACACAUUCAAUCAUUGAGAGAUGUAAAGAAAAAGACAUAUACAUAGAUAGAUUAUCUUUCCAUAAGGUUGAGCGAUCUGAUCUGACAAAUGUUAUAAGUGCUACACUAAUAAACUUUUCGUCCAUCCACUUUGUCUUGCUCACUAUGCUUAGGGUUAGUGAAGAACAAAUACACUUUAGGUUCUGUUGGUGUUUUCCACCAACAGGACCCAUGCACUUGAACUCUGCCUUGUCUCUAUGAGCAGGUACACUUUGAGCAAAACACGGAGGAGUUUUAUAACUCUCAGACUCUACCAAGUGAAGGACCUGGAUCUACGAGCACAAACACACUGAGCAGGAUACUGCCAACGCCGCACUUCGAACUGCUGGGCAAACGAAGAGGUGCAGAUGUCAAGGUCCGCACCUGAAUCAAAUGACGCACCUGAAGAAUGAAUACGGUGAGAAGUCUAGUUAAGAAGACUUAAAACAUUGAACUCUCACCGAAAGGUAAGAUCAGUAGUUAUCCAUAUUUAUCCUUUCUGCAUUCCCUUUUCCCUUUAAUUAUUUACAUUCCUUAAAUAGAUUAUUAGUUACUCAUGCUAUCUUGAAAAAAAAUAAAAAUGUUAAAAACUACUAAGCCCCAUGUUAGUAUACGAGUGGCAUAAAACCCAUAAGUACCUUCACUGUGGUGGCAUAAAAAUAAAAUAAAUAUUUCUUUUCUGCUUUAUAAAAUAAAAAUAUAAAAACAGGGAGUAAUAUUUAUUGAGGAAGCUCAAUAUGAUGAAGGCUAGAUAUUUAUGCUAACACUUAAUUAGUUCCACAAGCUUUGUUGUCUAUUUGAGCUCCACAGAAUUUAAGAAUCAAGAAGACUAGCAGACAGAGGACAUUCUAAUCGCUGUCAGAAUGCUGCUGACUUUCAAAUACACCUCUGCCACCUGCUAGCUACAUCAAGAGAAAUUACGUCAAAAUUCAGCUUGGGGGAGAGCACCCCCAUUUAUCUCGCUAAGUAUUUCUACCUAUCUUUAUACUUAUAUUAUAUUAGAAUAUUAAAAUACAUAAACUAUGAAAAACCAAAUAGAGAUUUUGUGCUUAUAUAUAUCUUUUGCUUAGUGUGUUUAAUAAAUAAAUAAAGUGGCUAUUGUGGCAGAACCUCCUAAGUGUUUGGGCCCACCGACACCUGUCAUUGUCCCAAGGACCUCUGACGGUGAUGCCGGGGAUCCUCCCACUCUAGAAGUCCGAUGAGCAUCUCAGGACGCUCAUUCCACCGUUACGUGGGGCGUAUCAAACAAGCUCGUCUUGACCACCAACAGUGGUCAAUUAACGAAAAUUUCUUCUUUUCGCCCUUACAGGAUAGCAAGUGGCCACCUUAACACCAGGAUCACUCGUUGCGAAGACAUUGUAGUAUCACAGACGACACAAGACCAAAAUAAUAUUUCAGAGUAAAACAACUGAAGUACUACAUAACUUAAUUUACAAAAGGAGCAACUUAAACUUUAGCAUAGAGAUUACAAAUUUACAGACCCUGCCCAUGGGUCACGCUCACUCUUCCUCAUCGUCAACCUCGACAACGGACACACAACAGGGUCCGAAACAAGUCGGCUCCUGAGCUUCACCUGCAACAGGGGUUAUAAAACCCUAAGUACGGGAGUACUCAACAAGACUUACCUGGCGGAAAAAGAGAAGAAAUUUGGAAUGCAGGCUUGGGGUAGACAAGGGAUGGCUGAGCAAGGAGCCAAAGUGUUUUGCUAAAAAGCUUACUAAUAGUGCAUCCUUACUUUCAAGUUUUACCCGCGAAUUCCUCUCCUUAAGAGGCCGAGGAGUUCCUCGGAGACUUCCCAAGUCUCGGAUCCUACUUCCUCGAACAGAGCACCGACCUUGGGGUUCGGUUCAACGGUCGCUCCUUCGGUCACGUGCACUAUACGCAAAAUGAUGAAUGCUCAUGAUAUGCAUAUGACAAAUAUUUAAGAAGGACCGAGUUAACUACAACGGGCCUUCUUGGUGCAAUACAGACUGAACAAUAAUUAAAGUUGUUUAUCAUCUUAGUAUCUUUACCCAAGAGGUUACAUCAGUAAACUAAGAUUUCUCUUAAUUCAUAAUUAUCCUAAAUUAACUAAUUAUUAAUCCUUUUUAUUUUAAUUAAUUCUUGACUAAGUAUUCAUGACAGUAAUUAAACAUUAAUGCCAAACAAUAAUUAAAUGUCAAAGGUCAUCAAGGUUAAUGACCUCAGGUCGUCACACAAUCCCAAAAUCACUAAAACCCUAAUUUUGAGAAUUUAACUAAUUAUUAUCUAAUUAUUCUAGAAUUAUUAUUUAAUUACUAAUCAAGGGUUUAAUAAUAUUUUAUCCAAACUUUAUCCAAAUGCCACCAAAUUUUGUGUGGAGCCAGGGAAUAAUAUUCAGAGGCAUCCCACAAAUUUUGGUGAUUUUUGGACAUAUCACUAAAUUAUUAAAAUUCAUAGAAGUUUUAUUUACUAAUUAAAAGAGACAAUUUUUAUAAACAUUCAAACUACCAGAAAAUAGCACCUAAUAUUUAUCUUAUGUUCUAUCCAUUUUAUUGAAUCUAUACAAAAAUUUCCAUUAUUUUUGAAUUAGUAUACAAUUUUCUACACAAUUCUACAAAUCAAGCAUUUUUAAACAAAAAGGAAAAAGGAAAAACACACUGCGCUAUGCGGCCGGCCCGCUUCGCUUUGGCCCAAGCCGGCCCGAGAACCUCCCGCGUCGCGCGCGGGCGCUGCUCGUCACAUGCGGCCACUGACGGGCGGGUCCCGCCCGUCAGAUUCUCCUUCCACCUCCUGUCGCGGCUCCGGUGAGCUCAAGCUCAUCGCCGGAGAGCUCCCGGCCUCUGCGGUAGGGUGGGCUAGCACCUUCGGCCUCUCGCGCAACCCCUGGGACACACGGGACAACCCCUACUCCCUCCUAACCCUCCUGCUCACGUCCACGGCGGACGGCGACACUAACGGCGCGAGCACCGGCCACUGCAAGCGGGUAGAACGCGAACCAACCAGCGCAUAAGCUUCAGGGGCUCACCGUGACUUCAACGGAGCAACGAGCAGCGAUGGAAAGGCUUGGAGCAGCUCUGGCCACGGUGAAGUACUUACGGCGGUGCUUCGGCCGGAGUUGAAGGAGAACGGCUCGGUUGCGGGCUAGGGGAGGCUAUAGCUCGCGACAAAGGGUCCAGGGAGUAGCUGAGCUCAAGGCGAAGCUCUGGAGGUGCUUUGGGGGCUCGGACAGGGAGUGGACAUGAUGAAUUUUGUGGGCGACGAAGUUCACCGGCGUCGGGCGCGAGAGAAAUAAACGGAGCACGUCGGCUGGUGCAGUGGCUUAUAUCACGAACGGAGGAGACGCCCAGCUUCCACGUCACCUGGCGACACUGGCAGGCAAGCAGGCUGUGUGCAUGCACGCAUGCGCACGGCGCUGCCCGCGCGGCGGCUGCGCUGGACAGGGGCGCCGUGAUCCCUAUCGGAUCACUGUAGCGAGCUUUAUCCAACCCAUUUUGUGGUUUUGCAAAAUCCGCCCAAAUUUUGAACUGAAGACAAAAUUCCACCAAAAUGAAAGUUGUGCAGAAUUGUACAAGCUACAAAACUCCUUUUGGUGACCAAAGCUAAAUCUGAGUGGAAAUUGGUGAUUUUAACAAAACAGUUUGAAAUUCAAAACUCAAUUCAAGGAAAUUCCAAUUUUUGAAUUGGGGCAGAUCAGAAUUUCCAAAAUUACUUUUGAUUUUCCAUAACAACUUGAAAAACUCCCAACAUGAAAGUUGUUCAACUUUUUGGGAUCUACAACUUUCAUGUUGGCCACUUUUCAAAAUUCCAAAUAUAUUUUGAAUUGGAGAUUCAAAUUGGAAAAGGGGACAGUUUCUGGAAAUCUUUAUUUUCAAAAUUACUUUGAAUUUUGUAUUGAAACUUCAAAAACUCAAAACACUAAAGUUGUACAUCUUGACAAGAUCUACAACUUUUCUUUUGAGCUCAACUUCAAAUUUUGCUUAGUUUUUAAAUUGCACAAAAGAGGGCAAUUCUAGGGUUCUAAAAUCAGGGUUUUUCCCCCCCUAAUCUCUCGGAAAUCUUUCACCCUAGGGAUUAAACAACCAACACAAGCAUCACUUCUCAACAUAAGCACACUUUACUUUCCUAAGCACAAGCAUUCAAAAUAAACUUGUUUUAAUUUGAUGCAUAAUAAUGUGCUUAACAAAUAUGCAAUGCAAUGCUCAUGAUGACAUGAUCCAGUUUUAGUAACCGUAACAUCGGGGAUGUUACAGCCCUUCCCCCUUAAAGAAAUCUCGUCCCCGAGAUUUAAAGCCUUAGGGUAUGUAAUGGAAAAGGAAAUUUGUCAAACUAUUUCACUUUCAACAUUUUCAUAAUACAAGGAGCUAGGGAAGACUACUCAAUUAUAAACAUAUAUGUACAUCAAGUACAUGGCUUUGGCUACUCUUUUUUUCCUGCAUUCGAUUACACUUUCUAUUUAUUGGAUGUUGUCUUGAAGAGAAGCAUGGAACUCAGGAAAAUUCUCUAUUAGAUAAUCUUCAGAUUCCCAUGUGGUAGUUGUUCUUCGAGUAACCCUAUCCUUGCGAUCCAAUACUCGGAUAGGAUAUUCCGCAUAGGUCAGAUCUGGUUCAAGUUCCACCUCUUCGAUAUCUUGAACUUGGUCUGGUACUCGAAGACACUUUUUCAAUUGAGACACAUGAAAUACAUUGUGUAUCCCGGAUAAUCAUUCGGGCAGUUUAAGGCGGUAAGCUACCUGUCCACAUCGGUCAAUGAUUGGAAAUGGACCAAUGUAACGGGGCGCUAACUUGCCUUUAGUGCCAAAAUGAUUUAUUCCUUUCAUUGGGGAUACUUUCAGAUACACAUGGUCACCUUUGGCGAACUUUAAGGGUCGACGUCUUUUAUCGGCAUAACUUUUCUGUCGGGACUGAGCAAUCUUCAAGUUAUUUUGGAUUUGUCUGACUUUGUUCUCAGUUUCUUUCACUAAGUCAACCCCGAAGAACCAUCUUUCUCCGGGUUCCGACCAGUGUAACGGAGUUCGACAUCGACGGCCAUAUAGUGCCUCGAAGGGAGCCAUCAUAAUACUUUCUUGGUUGCUAUUGUUGUAGGAAAACUCUGCUAGAGGCAGGCAGUCAUCCCACUUAUCUGGAAAAUUCAGGGCACAAGAUCUUAAUAGAUCUUCUAGGGUUUGAUUCACCCUCUCUGUUUGCCCACCUAUUUGAGGGUGCUAGGCGGUACUGUAUAAAAGCUUGGUGCCCAAAGAUUCAUGUAAGCAUUUCCAGAACUGGGAGACAAAUUGGGUGCCUCUAUCUGACACUAUUGUCUUUGGCACCCCAUGCAGACUUAGUAUACGAUCAAAAUAGAUCUGAGCAUAGGUGGAAGUAUGAUACGAUGUCUUUACAGGUAAGAAGUGUGCUGUUUUGGUGAGACGAUCCACAAUGACCCAAAUAGAAUCAAAGCCUUUGGCCGUCUUGGGCAAUCCUACUAUGAAAUCCAUACUAAUAUCAUCCCAUUUCCAUGCUGGAAUAGGCAAGGGUUGCAACUCUCCAGCGGAUUUGAGAUGAACAGCUUUGACCUUUCGACAUGUGUCGCAUUGGGCCACAUAGCGAGCUAUUUCUAUCUUCAUUUUCGUCCACCAAAACCUUUGCUUCAGGUCCUGAUACAUUUUAUUGCUCCCGGGGUAGAAUAUCUUGUGGUAUGACCUUCAUCCAGGAUUUGCUGACGUAGCUCAGGUACCUUUGGAACCACUAACCGGUUUUUGAACCAGAUUACUCCUGCAUCAUCCACCUUAAAGUCUGUGGGUGCUCUAUUAAAAAUUUUCUCUUUCAGAUAUUUCAUGCCUUUGUCUUCUUUUUGUGCCUAUAUGAUUUGAGCUUCGAGAUUAAAAUCAAUCUUUAGAUUGGCAAGGCUUCCUUGGGAAAUCAUUUCUAUCCCCCAGUUCUCUAGCUCUUGGCAUAAAGUUAUAUCUUUGGGCGUCACGGUUAAGCAAUUACAGUGAGCCUUACGACUGAGGGCAUCAGCUACUACGUUCGCUUUGCCAGGGUGAUAAUGCACCUCAAGGUCGUAAUCUUUGAUCAAUUCUAGCCACCUUCGCUGGCGCAUAUUAAGUUCAGCUUGAGUGAAGAUAUACUUCAAGCUCUUGUGAUCUGUGUAUAGAUGACAAGUGUUCCCCAACAGAUAAUGGCGCGAGAUCUUUAGUGCAUGUACUACGGCGGCUAGUUCAAGAUCAUGGGUUGGGUAAUUCUCUUCAUGUGGUUUAAGCUGCCUGGAAGCAUAUGCAAUUACUCGACCCUCCUGCAUUAGCACACAGCCUAUCCCUAUUCCUGAUGCGUCACAAUACACAUCAAAGGGCUUUUCAAUAUCUGGCUGGGCUAAGACAGGUGCAGUUGUCAAUAAUCUUUUCAGAGUCUGGAAGGCUUGCUCACAUUCAGGUGACCAAACAAAUUUUGUUUGAUUCUUGAGCAAGGUCAUGAUUGGUUUAGCGACUCUGGAAAUGUCCGGGAUAAAGCGACGGUAAUAUUCCGCCAUACCCAGAAAACUACGGACCUCAUGUACCGUAGUCGGGGGCUUCCAAUUCAACACAUCUUCUACUUUACCUGGGUCUACAGCGACUCCCUCCGCUGAUAAUACAUGCCCCAGGAAAUGGACUUUGUCCAGCCAGAACUCACAUUUGCUGAACUUGGCAUAUAGCUGAUGUUCCCUGAGGCGGGUCAGCACAAUUCUCAAAUGUUCAGCAUGUUCUUUCUUAGUUUUGGAAUAGAUCAGAAUGUCAUCAAUGAAGAUGACCACGAAUUUGUCCAGCUCUGGCAUGAAGACAGAGUUCAUCAAGUACAUGAAAUGGGCCGGUGCAUUGGUCAACCCAAAAGACAUCACCAAGUUUUCAUACAGCCCAUAACGGGUUGUAAAAGCCGUUUUGGGUACAUCCUCCGGCCUAAUUUUGAUUUGAUGGUACCCUGAUCUCAAAUCAAUCUUUGAGAAUACUUUAGCCCCGGCCAACUGGUCAAAUAGCAAGUCAAACGGGGCAAUGGGUACUUGUUCUUAAUCGUCACCUCAUUCAGGGGACGAUAAUCAACACACAGCCUUAAUGUUUGAUCUUUCUUUUUCACAAAUAAGGCUGGGCAACCCCAUGGAGAGGAACUGGGCUGAAUAAAACCUUUCUGCAACAGCUCUUGUAGUUGGGUUUUUAAUUCGGCCAGUUCUUUUGGUGCCAUUCGGUAGGCCCUUCGAGAUAUUGGGGCUGUCCCUUGUUUCAAUUCUAUGCUGAACUGGACAUCCCGGUCCGGUGGCAGACCUGGUAGGUCUUCAGGAAAAACGUCUGGAAAAUCCCGAACCACUGGGAUAUUUUUGACUGCAGCCACAUUAGUGGCAUGAACCUACCCAAUUGAACAUUUGGGAGUAGCUAACUGGAUUAGAAGGUAAGAAUUCUCAUUGGGCAAUGGGAUUUUAAUGGUUCGAUGCAAGGUAUCUAGCACAACCCCUCGUUGUGCCAUCCAGUUCAUGCCUAGUAUGACAUCAAUCUUCUGGUCUUUAAGAACAAUCAUGCUAGUGGGAAAACUAGCCCACCAAAUUCGAUGGGUAUCUGGUGAACCAUUUCAUUAGAACUCAGCCGUUCUCCUGGCGACUGUAUAUAAAAAUGAUCUUUUGUUUCCCCAAUGGGUAUGCCAUGCUUUAUCACGAAGGUGCGGUUGAUGAAUGUAUGAGAUGCACCAGAAUCGAAAAGCAUUAAAGCAGGAUGUUUCGCAAUAGGAAAUGUACCCAUCAUCACCGGUUCUCCUUCCGGUAUCCUCUCCACCUCUGUAUGGAAGACUUGUCCCGCUUUCUUUAUGGGUUUACCCCUUUGCACAUUUUGUCCUUUCUGAGCCCGAGUCCUGAAUUGGCUCUGCUGGGGUUGGCCAAUGGGUGGCCUUUGGAAAGUGGGGUUGGUUUGGCGGGGGUAGGGGCAUUCUUUGGAAAAAUGCCCAGGCUUACCACAAUUGAGACAGGGAUAAUUGUGGUUGGGUGGAGCAGUGGGAUGAACACCUGGGGCGUUCGGUUGGUGUGGUGCAGUGGCGAUGGCAGUAGGUCGAGGAUAUACCUGCUGCCCUGGUCUAUAUUGUGGAUGGGAAAAGGGACCACGAUAAGGUGACAGCGCUUGAAAGCGUCCGUGGCCCUGUGGAUGAUAAAUGAUUCUCUGGCGCUUUUGACCGCGACCAGAGAAGGAGGAAGAAGCGGCCUUCUUCUUGGCUUCUUUGUGCUUUCUAUUCUUUUCUUCUGAGGCGAUGGCAAUAUUUACCGCCUCGUAAAAGGUAGCAUUUUGACAGGUGGUCAUCAUGGUUUGAAGUUUGGUAUUGAGACCACGCAUGAAGCAGGCCUUCUUCUUUCUAUCCGUGUUCACAUGGUCUGUGGCAUAUUGAGAAAGAUGAUUAAAUUUUGCCACGUUCUCCAUGACACUUUUAUCGCCUUGUUGCAAGGCGAGAAAUUCUUCGGCCUUCAUGGCCAUAAGCCCUUCGGGGAUAUAGUGGGCGCGGAGCGCGUCCUUAAAUUCUGUCCAGGUGACCUGGUGUCCUGGACCUUGGAUAGCUAGAAAAUUCUCCCAGCAGGCACUCGCAGCUCCCCGAAGCUGUUGAGCUGCGAACAGGGGCUUCUGAGUUUCCGAACAUCGGAUCAGACUGAACUUGUGCUCCGUUAUUCGGAGCCAGUCAUCAGCCUCUAACGGCUCAUCAGCCUUGGUGAAUACCGGGGGCCUUGUCUCGGUAAAGUCCACGUACCGAGUUUCUCCCUCCCCAUUGUGCUGUGCUCUGAAGUUUGGGGCGGGGUGUGGUUGGCGUUGUGCUAACUCGCGCAACAAGCGUGCGUUGUCGGUGGUGGCACUCAAAAGAACAGCAAUGGCAUCAGCCAGGGAAGGUGGAGCAGGUGGAGGGUUGGGGAUGUCAUCCCCUCCCUUAGAGGAACCGGCUCCAUCAGAUCCAUGAGUACGCAUCGGCAUCUGCUACAAGAGUCAUAUGUACUUGUUACCACAUGAAUUCAUAACUUAGAACAUAUCUUACAUACUUCCAUUUAUUUAUCAAACAUCAGUUCAACACACUGGAAAUAAACAAGUACAACUUUUAAAAGAAAAGACACUAUACUACAAACCCGACCCCACUACGGUAAACUAGGAAUCCUACAACGACGUUGCCCGCGACUUCACCGAACUAGUCGGUGUGGCCAGAGCUGUAGCCCUGGUCGUCAUUGCCAUCGUCCUGAUUACCCCCCGGGUUAUCAUCACCGGAGUCAGAUUCCUCCUCGUCACUGAGGUCUUGGUCGGGUUCCCCAGCAUCCGCCAACUCUCCAUCCGUAUCCAUCUCCCCUUCACCUGGAGGUGGAUGGAGCUGAUGAUAUAGGUCGAAUGCAAUAUCAUGGUAUUGCAUUGCCAAGUCGUUGACGGUGUCUAAAUGAUGUGCCAGCUCAAGCUUCUCUAGCUGUAGCUGGUCCUCCCGCUGCCACGCGACAUCCCUUUGCACGGUGACAGUGGCCGCCAUCUUCACGUACAGAUCUUUAAGGUACUUGGUUUUGUCCAGCUUUGCCUUCAUCCUGGUCAGCUCGUGGCUGUGUGCGCUCCUGGCCUCCUCUUCUCGGGCAAUAGCGGCAUUCCUCUCCUCCACCAUACGGGACAGCAUGGCCUCGCAGUUCUCUGUGGCUUGUUUUUGUUUUAAUAAUUGAGCUUUUAGUUCACCAAUCUCCAUGACGUUGUACAUCCUUUCUCUCGUCACUUCGGUUAGCUCGGCAGACAACCUUUCCACCUCUUGCUGCGAGGGUGAACGGCUACUGCUUGCUUGAUCGCUUCGCGGGGCCAACUGGUGUUUAGGGACCCCUUUAGGACCAGUUCACUUGCGCGGGGUCUGCUUCUAACGAGCCAUCCUGUAGAGGGUAAGUUUAGAUUAGUAAGGGAGAACUUAAAGGUUAGGAAGAAUGGGAUUGAUUCAAUACAACCCAACCCAAACAAGGAGGAAGGAACUUAACCAAGUGAUAUAUCAUGAUGCAUGCACGUACUUAUGAUUCCUAUUCGCAAUUCAUAACGAUAUUACUUCAAAUUUUAACAACAUAGGGCAAUACUUUAUGUUGCUCCUCCAUACCACUUCAAAAAUUCUAAGAAGGCCUACAGACAAGGGUAAGAUAAGACUAAAGCACUUGGACUCAAAAUAGGCAAGUUUAUAGUAUUGGAUCCAAAUGAGUUUUGAAGUUUUUCAAAGGAUACAGCAGUCAUCUUAGCAACGAAUGCUCUGAUACCACGCUGUGGCAGAACCUCCUAAGUGUUUGGGCCCACCGACACCUGUCAUUGUCCCAAGGACCUCUGACGGUGAUGCCGGGGAUCCCCCACUCUAGAAGUCCGAUGAGCAUCUCAGGACGCUCAUUCCACCGCUACCUGGGGCGUAUCAAACAAGCUCGUCUUGACCACCAGCAGUGGUCAAUUAACGAAAAUUUCUUCUUCUCGCCCUUACAGGAUAGCAAGUGGCCACCUUAACACCAGGAUCACUCGUUGCGAAGACAUUGCAGUAUCACAGACGACACAAGACCAAAAUAAUAUUUCAGUGUAAAACAGCGGAAGUAUUACAUAACUUAAUUUACAAAAGGAGUUCUUCCAAAUAGUAUAGUGUUAUUACAAGCCAGGUCCAGCGGAGCAACUUAAACUUUAGCACAGAGAUUACAAAUUUACAGACCCUGCCCAUGGGUCACGCUCACUCUUCCUCGUCGUCAACCUCGACGACGGUCACACAACAGGGUCCGAAACAAGUCGGCUCCUGAGCUUCACCUGCAACAGGGGUUAUGGAACCCUGAGUACGGGAGUACUCAACAAGACUUACCCGGUGGAAAAAGAGGAGAAAUCAGGAAUGCAGGCUUAGGGUAGACAAGGAGUGGCUGAGCAAGGAGCCAAAAUGUUUUGCGGAAAAGCUUACUAAUAGUGCAUCCUUACUUUCAAGUUUUACCCGCCAAUUCCUCUCCUUAAGUGGCCGAGGAGUUCGAGGACAAGCUAACUAGUUGUCUCCCACAGACAAGUCUGUGAGUUCCUAGUCCUAAAUUAAAGUGUUAUUUAUUCAACGGCCAUAGCUUCAUGUCACUCUGGGUCCGGGAAUUGGGAUCCGAACCUCAUGAGACAUUUUUCCUUCUCUCAUUUUAUCACUUAGUUGCAUAAUUAACUACGAUGAGGGUCAGUGGAUUGAGUCUCCCAAUCGGGGAGCAACGACGAUUCGAACCGCUUAGCAAUCCAGCUGGAGUUCCUAACCACCCGACAUAUGUAGAACCAAAUCGUGCAUACGUCAACCCAAAUCAAGCUCUCCCCAAAUUUGACCAGGUUCGCGGCACCCGAGAGCACAGUACUCCACCAUCCUAUAGCCGAUCUAGAUGUUUUCCGGUCAUCUCAGAUCCGUAAGGUGGGUACACACUACUCUCGCCAUCGCUCCACGCCCAGUGCGCGAGUAGCUGUUCGCGUCGAGGGAUCACAAGACCGGGCUUACGAACGGCAAGUGGCUAGUACUAUAAAUUCUCAACCCAGCGGGCCAUCAACGGACCGGUCCUUAACCGACACAGUUGGAGACACUACUUUAAGACUCCAUUCUUAAAGCAAGUCCACCGACCGGUCUCAAAUUGAAACUUCAUUGAGCAUAAGUGUAUUCCACAACAACCCUUCAAACUUUCUUAUUUGAAAGCCUAUCUAGUAGCAGGGCUAAGCAUUACUACGCAGUUUUUAAAAUAAAACAGGUGCCAAGGACAAGAUAACAAAUAUCAAGGUAGUAAAUGCAGUAAGUAGGUUAACCCAAUUCUUGACUACCUAAUGCGGCAUUUUCAAUUCAUAAGUGAUAAAAGAUUUAAAACAUUCAAGGAGGGGUUCAUGCAUCCGGGGCUUGCCUUGGUUGCAGAGCUGAGAGGGUUCCUCGGAGACUUCCCAAGUCUCGGAUCCUACUUCCUCGAAUGGAGCACCGACCUCGGGGUUCGGUUCAACGGUCGCUCCUUCGGUCACGUGCACUAUACGCAAAAUGAUGAAUGCUCAUGAUAUGCAUAUGUCAAAUAUUUAAGAAGGACCGAGUUAACUACAACGGGCCUUCUUGGUGCAAUACAGACUGAACAAUAAUUAAAGUUGUUUAUCAUCUUAGUAUCUUUACCCAAGAGGUUACAUCAGUAAACUAAGAUUUCUCUUAAUUCAUAAUUAUCCUAAAUUAACUAAUUAUUAAUCCUUUUUAUUUUAAUUAAUUCUUGAUUAAGUAUUAAUGACAGUAAUUAAACAUUAAUGCCAAACAAUAAUUAAAUGCCAAAGGUCAUUAAGGUUAAUGACCUCAGGUCGUCACACAAUCCCAAAAUCACUCAAACCCUAAUUUUGAGAAUUUAACUAAUUAUUAUCUAAUUAUUCUAGAAUUAUUAUUUAAUUACUAAUCAAGGGUUUAAUAAUAUUUUAUUCAAACAUUAUCCAAAUGCCACCAAAUUUUGUGUGGAGCCAGGGAAUAAUAUUCAGAGGCAUCCCACAAAUUUUGGUAAUUUUUGGACAUAUCACUAAAUUAUUAAAAUUCAUAGAAGUUUUAUUUACUAAUUAAAAGAGACAAUUUUUAUAAACAUUCAAACUACCAGAAAAUAGCACCUAAUAUUUUUCCUAUGUUCUAUCCAUUUUAUUGAAUCUAUACAAAAAUUUCCAUGAUUUUUGAAUUAGUAUACAAUUUUCUACACAAUUCUACAAAUCAAGCAUUUUUAAACAAAAAGGAAAAAGGAAAAACACACUGCGCUAUGCGGCCGGCCCGCUUCGCUUUGGCCCAAGCCGGCCCGAGAACCUCCCGCGUCGCGCGCGGGCGCUGCUCGUCACAUGCGGCCACUGACGGGCGGGUCCCGCCCGUCAGAUUCUCCUUCCACCUCCCGUCGCGGCUCCGGUGAGCUCAAGCUCAUCGCCGGAGAGCUCCCGGCCUCUGCGGUAGGGUGGGCUAGCACCUUCGGCCUCUCGCGCAACCCCUGGGACACACGGGACAACCCCUACUCCCUCCUAACCCUCCUGCUCACGUCCACGGCGGACGGCGACACUAACGGCGCGAGCACCGGCCACUACAAGCGGGUAGAACGCGAACCAACCAGCGCAUAAGCUUCAGGGGCUCACUGCGACUUCAACGGAGCAACGAGCGGCGAUGGAAAGGCUUAGAGCAGCUCUGGCCGCGGUGAAGUACUUGCGGCGGUGCUUCGGCCGGAGUUGAAGGAGAACGGCUCGGUUGCGGGCUAGGGGAGGCUAGAGCUCGCGACAAAGGGUCCACGGAGUAGCUGAGCUCAAGGCGAAGCUCUGGAGGUGCUUUGGGGGCUCAGACAGGGAGUGGACACGACGAAUUUUGUGGGCGGCGAAGUUCACCGGCGUCGGGCGCGAGAGAAAUAAACGGAGCACGUCGGCCGGUGGAGUGGCUUAUAUCACGAACGGAGGAGACGCCCAGCUUCGACGUCGCCUGGCGACACUGGCAGGCAAGCAGGCUGCGUGCACGCAUGCAUGCGCGCGGCGCUGCCCGCGCGGCGGCUGCGCUGGACAGGGGCGCCGUGAUCCCUAUCGGAUCACUGUAGCGAGCUUUAUCCAACCCAUUUUGUGGUUUUGCAAAAUCCGCCCAAAUUUUGAACUGAAGACAAAAUUCCACCAAAAUGAAAGUUGUGCAGAAUUUUACAAGCUACAAAACUCCUUUUGGUGACCAAAGCUAAAUCUGAGGGGAAAUUGGUGAUUUUAACAAAACAGUUUGAAAUUCAAAACUCAAUUCAAGGAAAUUCAAAUUUUUGAAUUGGGGCAGAUCAGAAUUUCCAAAAUUACUUUUGAUUUUCCAUGACAACUUGAAAAACUCCCAACAUGAAAGUUGUUCAACUUUUUGAGCUCUACAACUUUCAUGUUGGUCACUUUUCAAACUUCCAAACAGAUUUUGAAUUGGAGAUUCAAAUUGGAAAAGGGGACACUUUCAAGAAAUCUGUAUUUUCAAAAUUACUUUGAAUUUUGUAUUGAAACUUCAAAAACACCAAAGUUGUACAUCUUGACAAGAUCUACAACUUUGCUUUUGAACUCAACUUCAAAUUUUGCUUAGUUUUUAAAUUGCACAAAAGAGGGCAAUUCUAGGGUUCUAAAAUCAGGGUUUUUCCCCCCUAAUCUCUCGGAAAUCUUUCACCCUAGGGAUUAAACAACCAACACAAGCAUCACUUCUCAACAUAAGCACACUUUACUUUCCUAAGCACAAGCAUUCAAAAUAAACUUGUUUUAAUUUGAUGCAUAAUAAUGUGCUUAACAAAUAUGCAAUGCAAUGCUGAUGAUGACAUGAUCCAGUUUUAGUAACCGUAACAUCGGGGAUGUUACACCUAUGCUAAUCUGAAUCUUAAUAAUAAAACUCUAGCAUGGAUAUGAUGAAUAGUUGCUCUGCCUAAUUUGCAAAUUUGAAGUUCUCUCUCAAGUUUAGACAUAACUGUUAUAAUUUAAAGCUUGCUCUAGAUCUAAACUUGUGGGAUAAAAACUUGAUGUGAAAUCUAAGUUGUUAACGGAUAUGAUAUGGGAAGGUUGAGCUGCUGUUUAUCUGUUCCUAGAGAUGCUAGAAUUCUAGAGAAUUUUAUCUUUGAAAAAUCUUUAAAAUAUUGCAUGAUGAGUUCCUGUAUGAUAAAAGUUUAAAUUCCUACCACAGCCAUAUAUACAUGCUUGCUAGACUUUGAGCCACACAUUUACUAUUUACUGCUUAUGAGCAUUGAGUGUGGUCAAGCUGUGUAGACCCUUAGGAGCUUGUCAUGUGGUUAAAUCAAGAUUUCACUUGCACAUUCACUCAUAUAUGCUACUUCUACUCCGGAAGUACCAUCCACAUAUAUCCACUCAUUUCCAUCUCCAGAACCACCCAAAAAUAUUCUACUCCUAAUCCGGGAGAGAAUAACCAAAAAUAUUUCUAUUUUUCCUUGUGAAAUAAAUGCUCAAGUUAUCUUGCUACUACCACUUGCCAUAUUAUCUCAAGAGAUGAGUGCUCUGAAAAAAAAAUAAAAAAAUAAAAAAAUAAUAAACGAGGAAAUAAAAAGGGGCAAGUGCCCGGAACCUCGAAAGAAAGAAAAAGUGAGACGAGAGGUAAAAAUGGACAAGUGUCCGACAGUAGAAUUAGGGGUACAAGAUACCCACCUGAGAGGAAAGAAAAAGAAGAGCAUCUCAUUCUCCUCAUAAAGUUUCAAAAAGCAAGGAACGUAUGUAUCCCCUCAAAACAGCAAAAUUAGAAUUAGACUUUCACCAUUAUUAUCACCAUCAUCACCAUACACCAUUCAUCCGCCACACAUGCACAUCUUGGUUUGACUUAUUGACUUGUUUCUCUGGAUCCUUGGUUUGACUAUGCAAUAAAUGUCUUGUAAGUAUGUAUUAGCUGUCUCCCACCUAUGAGCUCCAGAUAUUAAAGCCUUAUUAGAGUUGGGUGAGAGAGAAGGCAAUGUCACUAUGCCUUAUACCACAAAUACCAUAUAUCUUGAGAGAAGGCAUAUACCAUCACUGCCUUGGUAAGGAUCCAGAAAUACCACAAAAGAGAGAUUUAGAGAGUCAUACAAGGAAUCUCUGAGUUUUAUUUGAAAAUCUGCAAAAACUCCAGAGCUAUAGCUGAUGAAGAAUUAUAGACAUAGCACUUGGCUAGACUGUUCUAUCUUUUAACUACUCAAGACAGAAGUGACGGUUACAAGUCCCAUGGUGAAAGGUAAAGUAGGUAAGUUUUAGUUCUUGACAGUUUACUCUAACUUAGAGAUGAGAUCUUAUUUAAAAGCAUGUGUACCGUCAAAUUUUUUAAGAUAUUGCAACAACUUCUGAUCCAGUGCUGAGUCUAUCCUUGCUCAGGGAUGAGCAAGAGGUAAGCUUGGGGGAGUUUGUUGACGGUCCUUAAGUAUUAAAUUUAAUUAUCAAAUAAACAAAGCAAAGGAUCCAAAUGAAAUCAACAUCUUGACUUAGGGUUUUAUCUGACAGAAUUCCAUGAGUUCUGGUGUUUGUCUAUUUCUGCAGGGGGUUAUCAGGAAAUACGGAAGAAAGGCCCACAUGUCGGGAUUACAUAGAGAUAUCAACGUACCGCGCAAUUAUUUUACAUCUAGAAGACUCCAGAAGCCACGGGAAGGAAGCGGAGGCCGAACGGAGCCAGGACCUGGGCGCCCGCCCUGCUAUAGUGGCCAAUCACGUUCAACCUCGCGGAUUAUGCUCCACCGACCUAAAGGAUCAAGAAUAACCAUUCAAUCAAUGUCGGUUUGAUUCGACGGCCAAGGUUCACUUGAGGGGACUAGAUAACCAGACCCCCUGGCCCCUGGAGGAGGCAAACCCUUGAUCAUUAUUCAUUAUUCAUAGACAGAGCAAAAGCUAGGGUUUAGAGAUGAGAGCUCUCCUCUCUUCUCUAAACUAGAGUAGAUCUAGAUAGUAGCAAGAUGGGGAGCGAAGGAGGAUUAGAGGAGAGGCCGGCC
Molecule: long non-coding RNA, 45856 nt
Filed under: Sorghum bicolor (sorghum)
Lineage: Eukaryota; Viridiplantae; Streptophyta; Magnoliopsida; Poales; Poaceae
Description: long non-coding RNA (SBIC_LNC010679)
Source: RNAcentral